AUCAUCGUUGAAUGUGGGCACUAUAAAUGUUAUAGUGCUUGUUAACUUAAUGUAUUUGAUCAUAUAUUAUAGUAUUGUUUACUUUAAAUUUAGACAAUGAAGUAGAUUACAAAAAAAAUAACUUAUGCUCGUCAAGUUGUAGACACCAUCGUUCAUGUCAUCAUUACUGAAUAUUGAUGUACUUAUUAAGUGUUCUCUUUUUACUUUUGGUGAAGCAAUUUUGGUAUCAUUAUUGCAGGCUGUAAUUAACUUGGGAACGUGUAGAUUCUAUAAUUUCUUUUUCUGAUUCCUUAAUUUGCUUCUUUUAAUCCUACUCUUCGAUGUUGAAGUAAUUUAUGAGUAUUUUUGCUUCAAAAUAACUAAGAUUUAUUUUUCACAGUAUACUAAUUGAUUUUAUGCAUUUGUAGGUGGGAAAAAAAUGAAGCAGUGGAUGGAUAUUGAGUGACCUUGUGCUUUUUUUUUUUUAUUUUAGGUUGGAAACUUAAUUGAGUAGUAGUUAGCACUUGUUGUUUAGAGAUUGUUGAAAAUUUAAUUUGAUACUUAUGUUAAGUCUUUUACAUAUAGUGAUGUAGUUGAAUUGUGUGAAUUUAUGUGAUCUAUUUGAGAUGUUUAUUAUAUGAAUUGUGUUGCAAGAUAUUUAAUAAUAAAUAUAUUUCAAGUUUUCUUUUCUGCUGUACGGCCAAGGCGGAUGUACGGUACAGCAGUGAUAAUGGAUUGGAGUUUUGCAACCAAGUGUUUGAUGAAUUUUGUGCAAAGGAAGGUAUUGCAAGGCAUAAAACUGUAAGAAUGACACCUCAGCAGAAUGGCUUAGCUGAGAGGAUGAAUAGGACCCUCAUGGAUAAGGUGAGGUCCAUGAUGAUUCAAGCCAAGCUACCUAAGAAUUUGUGGGCUGAGAUUCUCAACACAGCUUGCUACCUGGUGAAUUUGAGCCCCUCCACUGCCAUUGAAUUCAAGACACCUUUUGAGCUUUGGUAUGGUAAACAAGCCAGUUAUAAAGACCUUAAAGUGUUUGAUUGUCUGAGUUAUGCUCACAUAAGCCAAGGAAAACUAGCACCCAGAGCACUGAAAUGUGUGUUCAUUGGGUAUCCAGAGGGAACCAAAGGAUAUAAGCUUUGGUGUACUGAUCUCUCUCCACCCAGGUGCAUAGUAAGCAGAGAUGUCAAGUUCAAUGAAGAAGCAGCAGUGGAUAGUAUUCAAAGAAACAGUGUGAGAGCUGAUUAAGUUCAUGAGAAACAUUUUGAGGUGGAGUCACCUGGCAACCUGAAUCAUAAUGAUGAUACAGAAUCAGCUGAAAGUGCUGAUGAUAUUGGAAGACGGGAGUCACUUCAAGAAGCUGGAUCAACUCAAUCACAAGUAAUGGAUUAUUAGUUGACAAGAGAUAGAUAGAAGAGACAAAGCAAAGCACCUAAGAGGUAUGGCUAUGCUGAUCUGAUUGCUUUUGCAUUACAUUCUGCUCAUGAGAUAAAUGCUGAAGAACUACAGAAUUUCAAAGAAGCCAUUAACUGUCAGUAUUCAAAAGAAUGGAAGAAAUCUAUGGAUGAAGAAAUGACCUCACUGUACAAGAAUUGUACCUGGGAACUGGUUAAAAGACCUAAGAAUAGGAGGAUUGUUGGUUGCAAGUAGAUAUACAUAAUCAAAGAGGGUAUGACUGCAGCUGAACCAAGGAGGUUUAAGGCUAGGUUAGUUGCAAAGGGGUACACUCAGAUGGAGGGUGUUGAUUUUAAGGAAGUUUUCUCCCCUGUAGUAAGGCAUGCUUCCAUAAGAGUACUGAUGGCUAUAACAGCAACACAGAAUCUGGAGCUGGAACAGCUUGAUGUUAAGACUGCUUUUUUGCAUGGAAAUCUUCAGGAAGAAAUUUUCAUGAGUCAACCAGAAGGAUAUGAAGCUCCUGACAGAAGAGAUUAUGUAUGCUUGCUAAAGAAAUCCCUCUAUGGCCUGAAGCAAUCUCCCAAGCAAUGGUACCUCAAAUUUGAUGAGUUUAUAACCACUCAUGGAUUUCAGAGGUGUAAUUAUGAUUGCUGUGUCUACCUUAAACAGCUAAGUCAUGAAAAACAUAUCUAUCUACUGCUAUAUGUAAAUGAUAUGUUGAUUGCUUGUGAAGAAAGGUCUGAAAUAGAUGCUUUGAAGACAUUGCUUGGCACUACAUUUGACAUGAAUGAUUUAGGAAGUGUUAAAAGGAUAUUAGGAGUUGAUAUAAGAAGGAAUAGAAGUGAAGGGCUGGUAUUUUUAUCUCAAGAGAAAUACUUGAAGAAAAUACUGGAAACCUUUGAUAUGGAGGAUUCUAAACCUGUACAAGGCCCCUUAGCAGCACACUUCAAACUUUGCAACCUAUAUUGUCCAAAGUCUGAAGAAGAAAGACUUGAGAUGGCCAAUAUUCCAUAUGCAAAGGCAGUAGGAUGCCUUAUGUAUGCCAUGGUGCUGACUAGGCCUGACAUCUCACAUGCUGUGAGUGUUGUCAGCAGAUACAUGGCAUCUCCAGGCAAAAAACACUGGAAAGGGGUGAAAUGGAUACUAAGGUAUCUAAAGGGUACUUUGAAUGUUGGUCUGGUAUAUGGAAAGAACUCUGGAACAGAAGAAAUGUUGUGGGGCUAUGUAGAUUCUGACUAUGCAGGAGAUCUGGACAGAAGAAGAUCACUCACAGGAUACUUGUUUAUGUUAAAAGGCUGCCUGAUUAAUUGGAAGGCAAACUUGCAGCAUGUAGUGGCACUUUCCACAACAGAAGCAGAAUUUACAGCUGCCACUGAAGCUGCAAAGGAGGCCAUUUGGCUCAAGGGCUUAAUCACUAAGCUCGGUUUAAAACAAGAGUCUGUACCAAUUUUCUGUGACAGCUCCAGUGCACUGCAUUUGUGUAAGAAUCCAGCUCACCAUGAGAAGAUCAAACAUAUUGAUAUUAAACUUCACUUCAUAAGAAAUGAAGUCUCCAGGGGAGUUAUCAAGAUGGUUAAAAUACAUACUGAUGACAACCCCUCUGACAUGCUCACUAAGGUGGUUCCUGCAACUAAGUUCAAGAAAUGUUUGGACUUAGUUGGUAUCUGCAAAACCUGAUAUGAAUCAGUUGGUGAAUGUAUCAGUUGCAGGGUGUUUGAUUCAAGGUGGAGUAUUGUUGGCUGAAAGGUGAAUUCAAACACCUUUGCCAGCAAACGACAGCGUUUCCAGUAGUGUUCAGAAGCUUUAAGUGAUCACGUGAGAAGCACAGCCAAUCCUUGUUUCGAAACGGCAACACAUGAGUUCGUUUUGGAUAUGCUCAACUUAAGUGAAGUCACGGGUUCUUCACGUGAUGGUUAGCUGAAGCUGAGUUCGUUAAAUAACAGACUCAUAGUACACGUGUCAAGGAGCUGUGCAAUCUGGGUUGUUAGAGCUGUUACAAGACUGGUAUAUAAGCUGCAGCCUUCUGGUUUGGAGAUCAUCGUGCGUGAUAGAGAUUGAGGGAAGUCUGAGAGGAAGUGUCUUACUUGUUCUUGUUCUUAGAAUCUCUGUAACAAACUUCUUGAAUCAUUCAAUAAAGCUGUCUGAGGAAUUCACUCGUGGAUGUAAGCCAUUAAUGGCUGAACCACGUUAAAGCUUGUGCUCUGCUUUGUGUGAUUAGUUUUCUUGCUGUUUUUUGGUUUCUAAGUUUGUAAUCAAUCCAUUUUGUUACGAGUCUAAUUGGGUUUAGUUGAUUCUCUGAAGUUGAUCUAAGCUGAUAUUGCAUCUUGAUUAAUCUUGGCUGAGAAUCUUGGGAGGAUCUAGUUCUUCAUCAAAGCAAAGCUAACGAACCAGAUUCAACAGCUAAGAUUUAGCUUCAACUCCACUUCUAUUUUGUUUAGUAUAGUAUUUUUUUAAAAAAAAAUUUUUUUUAUCUAUUCCCCUUUCUUGUUCACUGGAUAAUCAAUCAAGGAGGUUAGAUACUUUUUUUUCUUUUUUUCUUUUUAAUUGUAUUUUUAGUCAAUGGAGAAUGAGAAAGAUGGAACUAUAUUCAUGUAUGUAAAAUAGAGUUAAAUUAAUUGCGGACGAUCACAAUAGAACUUGUCUUCAGUGGUAUUUUUCUGUUUCAAGUGUCAUUGUCGUUGCAGGCUACCAAUAACAAUAAUGCAUUCAAUGACAUAAAUUCUUAAAAGAAUUACGAAUUAAUUGUUAACGUUUUCUUCUUUGCUCAGGUUUAUAAGUUUGUGAUAUGAGAAGCGGGAAAGGAGCGGCAGUUUGAUCGCGUCGGUUAAGUUUCAGACGCUUAUUUAGUCAAGAAACGAUGCGUUUUGAUUUUAAUGAGAAAAGUCUAAAAUAAAUUAAAUCCUAACCUUAAACAUGCAUCAUGAUCUAAUAAAAAAAUUUAAGAAAAAUUAAAUUAAGAGAGGAUUUAAAUCGUCUACAUCUAAUAUUGAUGCUGUAAUAUAAGGGAUGACAAGUGAUCUUAUAUAAAACUUAAAAAGAAAUUAAAUUAAGAGAGGAUUUAAAAUUCCAAAUUCGUUUACAUCGAUUAAAAAUAAAACACCCCUUAGAUUACUGUAAUGUAAGGAAUGAGCCUACACCAAACAAAACUGCAAAUUGCUACUGUAAAUUAUAAAAAACUCAAGAACGCCAUUCACAUAUUUUAAUUAUUUAUGAUGUUACGAAUUUAAAUAUUUAAGUUUUAUUCUAAGUCUUAAUAUAAAUUCAACAUCAGUUAUGAGUGAAUUAAACAUUUAGAUAUUGAAAUAUCCUGUAUAGCUUUUCAAUUAUUCAAUUUAGUAUUUAUUCACACUCGCAUUCACACAAGAGGAUAAGGAACCCUCCCUUUCCCUUCCCCUUCCCCUUCCGCUUUAAUUACUACCCCAAAUAAAACCUCCCCACUGUCCGACAACUAGCUAUGCAAAAAAUAUCCUUUUAUAUUUAUGUGUAUAUAUACAGACGCGCGCGCGCGCCCCCAUUCACUCUCCAAUCUCUUUGUCUCAUCCGAUGAUGGAUUCUAACUCGACAACGUUAACAGCACCAAGUGGUCUUGAUCAGAUUCAGAAUCCCAGCGCCAGCAGCUACGUUCUUAAUGGAAAGAUCAUGUUUUGUUCUGUGAUUCUUCUCUUUGUUGUUGUUUUCAUCUUAGUCUGCUUUCACAGUUAUGCCAGUUGGCUCCGUUACCGCCACCGCCACCGUUACCGUUACCGUCACCGUCACCGCCGUGCCCAUCGGCUCUUCUUUCUCUCUAGCGGUGCUAAUACCAUGAACACAGCUCCUCCUCACGCUCAUCAAGCUUUGGACCUCUCUAUUCUCAAAAGGAUACCCGCUUUUGUCUACUCACCAAACAUAGAACACCCCAAGGAGCCGCUAGACUGCGCCGUUUGCUUGUCGGAAUUUGAAGACAACGAAAAUGGCCGUGUCUUGCCCAAGUGUAGACAUGUAUUCCAUGUUGAUUGCAUCGACAUGUGGUUUCAAUCUCACUCUAAUUGUCCACUCUGUAGAGCCCCGGUUCAACUUGACAUCACUCUGGUUCAUCCACUGGUCCAAGUCGAAGAGGUUGUCUCCGUUAUCGAACCUACUGAGAGGGACUUAGGUGUUGUUCAUCAGAUGGGUUGCUCGUCUUCUUCUUCUUCUUCAUCUUCUUUGCCGCAAUUGGAGAGUGUGUCGGUGGAGAUACCUCGAGCUCGAGAGAACUUCAGAGGUUUGGAUGAUAUGGGUUUGAGUUUAACUAAUGAACGCAACGGGUUCAAGUCUCCGGGUAAUCGGGUUCUAACUUUGAAGAGGAUUUGGAGCAUAUGACUGCUUUGCUGUUCAACUGACGAGAAAAGAUAAAAUUGAAUCCCCACAAGAGGACGGACCAUUCUGUCUGUUGCCAACAUGUGGUGGAUAUUUUGCAGAAGUGGCAAAUUAAUGCAACACCUAUGUACAAAUAAUGUAUAGCACAGAUAAGUACUAAAUACAGUUUUGAUAUCGUGCUACUGAAAUCAAUUUUUGUUUUUACCUCGUUAAAAUUGUGUCAGAGGCACUAACAACCAAUGAUUCGAGCGACACAAAUUAUUAUUGUUGGGAUGCAUCAAAGGAAUUAAAUAUUAAUUUUUUAGGGUGAAAACUAAACCAUGAUUAAUAACUAUUUAUUGAUGUAUUAAUAUUUAAUUUGACCGAACAUUCCUGUUUUGAUUCUACUAAUGUUAAGUCAAUCAUACAACAAGUGAAUAAUAUUAUAAUAUAUGUAUAUUUCUUUCUUUUAUUUUUCUUAAUACAUAAAGGAUCUAGUUAAAAGUAGGCAACAACCAAGCAUGGGUGCGUAGACCCGGAAACAUCAUGCAACAUCCAUCAUUCGGUUUCGGUUACAGGAAUUGGAAAAACAUUGAUCCCAAGAGGUAAAAUGAUAGCUUGGUUGACGAGGUAGUUUUUUUUUUUUUUUGGAAUACUGUCAUACAGGACUGUUACUGAUAUUACAUCAGGUAUUAUAAUUAAUAUUUACAAACAGAUUGUACAAUUGAGACUUUCUUCGUGGCAUGUACUCCUUUGAAGCGUUGCUCAGAUUCUUUUAAACUCUCUCAAAUAUUCGAGAGUUGUCCACUCCACUCACAUUUCGUGAAGGAUAGACGGGCUCCACUCAAUUAUUUUGAUAAUUGAGGGAGGAUUGUAAAUAACCCUCAUAAAUAGUUUUAUGGAGGAUCAAACCAUUGCACUCAACAUUGUAAGUGCAAGGGUUCUCCCACUGGACCAAAGACCCAUUAGUGGUUGACGAGGUAGUUAGCUGUGAAAUUGGUUUCCCGAUAGCUAUAUGAUAGAGAUACCUACCAAUUUCUCUUGAGGAGUCUUUUAAUUCCCCGAAUAAGAGGGGAAUAAGCAUUAGGAUGACUGUUAUUUGUGGUUAGGAUAUAAGUGAUGCACCGACUAUCCACUUCAAUUUGAAGCUAUCGAAUCCCAAUAUUCCACGCAAGUUGCAAACCUCGAAAUAAGCCCCAAAGCUCCACUUCAGUAAUAGUGCAAUGGUCAAUAUUCGUACCAAAACCGCGAACCCAUUCUCUGUAGUAAUUUCUAAUGAAACCACCUGCCCUUGCAUGGCCUGAAAUUUGUCUACACCAUCUCUGCUGUACCGUACAUCCGCCUUGGCCGUACAGCAGAUAACCAAUUUUCCGUCACUAAAGCACACUUAAUGAGAAUUUGGCAUGUAGGACUUGUGAGGAAUAACACUCCUGUUCAUCUAUUUUGGACACUCACAAGGACAAAUAUAGAAGAACGCAUCUAUCUACCUAAAGUAUGUAAAAUACAAAUUUGUAAUUUCACAAACCUGCAAAGCAGAUAAUAGUUUUCCAUGCUUCUAAAAGCAAAUGCAUACAGCAGUUUAGAAUAUGUCUAAAUUACUUGUCUACAUUAACAUAGUGCCAUUGUGUCUUCUUUAUGGGUUUGGCGCUGAAAGCCAGUUUUUGUGUGAAAACACCAUACUCAAGUCCAUGCUUACAGCAAAUAAUUAAUGAUAAACAAUCCCAAAACAUUGUACAUAUUGAAUAAUCAUCACAAACAAUUGGGUUCUUCCCAAUUUCUCUUGCUCUUCGUAACUCCAGUGAAAUUAUGUCCAAAAUUAUUGACGCAAAUCAGUAACCAAUGUAUAAAACUGAAACAUUUCGUAGGCUAAAAAGAUGAAUUUAAGCAAAAUUAUACCACAAUUGUCAACGAAACCAAAUUCAAUGCAUUACUUUAAAGUUAUUUCUUAAUACAUGAACGGAAAUGUUGUUAAAAAGAAGGAAAAAAAUCACCUGAAAUCUGCAGAUAUAAUAAUCAUCACCAUAGACAGCCCUGAAGUUAUUAAGAGGUCUCACAGCCGGGUUUCUGGGAGGAAAGGGGACGCUCAUGUUGACUAAGGCCUUGACUCUGUCCGGCCUAAACAAACAAAAAUACCAAGCAAUCAAAGCACCCCAGUCAUGACCCACUAGGAAAACUUGAUGGAUACCCAAUUUAUCAAGGAGGCCGAUGAGGUCACCGACAAGAUGGAGUGCCGUGUACGACGUGACCGAGGGUGGGGCGUCGGUGUCGCCGUAUCCACGAAGGUCUGGGGCAAUGGCACGGUAGCCGCGGGAAGAGAGAUAGAGGAGCUGGUUGCGCCAGGAAUACCAGAGUUCAGGGAAGCCGUGAAUGAAGAGAACUGCUGGGCCUGUCCCUAUUGAUGCCACGUGCAUGUUUAUGCCGUUAGUGGCUACUAUUUUAUUUUUUGUCAAUUAUAUGCCUUAAGUCUUUGUAAUCUUCCAAACUUUAAUUAUCAUAAUGUUCAUCAAGCUGAACAUCAUUAUCGCUUAAUUAUUAUAAAUUUGAUUAAGAGUAUACAAUUAACAUAACAAGACAAAAGCCCCCCACCCCAACUACAAAAAAAGACAAACAUGUGGUUGACUGACUAUGGGUAAGUUUGGUAAUGCAGUGGUCUUUAAAAAUAAUUGUUGUAUAAUCAGUUGUAAAAAUAAUCAGUUAAACGUUUCGUAAAAUUUACAAAUUCUCAAAAGUGCUGUGAAAUUUAAAAGCUAUAAUAUGUGCUUGUUUAAUCUUUUUGUUAAAUUGCUAUACGAAUAUAAAUAACUGAAUUUGACAUAAUAUUAAAUAAAAUUUAUUUACAUAUUUAUAAACGUGUAUAUAAAAUAUAUAUAUAUAUAACAAUUGAUAACUAAAAUAAAUAUUUUAUUUUCUUAAUUUUAUAUCUUUAUGUUGUUAUCUCAUUAGAAUUGGUAAUAUUAAUAAUAAUCUCUUGAAAAUUAAUUAUUUAAUUUCUUAAUUAAUAAGGAUAAUUUUGUAUAUAUAUAUGAAAUUGUAGUAAGUACAAAACUGAUUUACAAAAUCAGACUUUGAAAAGUUAUUUUUUUGCUACUUUUUAAAAUCUAAAAGAUGGGAUGAUUUUACCAAAAGUAAUCUUUUAAAAAAUUUACCAAACACCAAAAUUAAUUUUUAACUUUUCAAAAUCAAUUUUAAACUUCUUCAAAACAAUUUCAAACGACCUUAUAUGCCGAAUUUCCUAAUCCAAAUUUUAGGUGUCAUAACUUGUGGGCGGAUUUUUUAGGAAAAAAAUCCUGUGUGAGGAGGACAUUGAUUUAGAAGAAAACGGUACAAAAAUUUGAAACUCUUCUGCGUAACAUUCAUUAAUUUACCAGAUAAUGUUUUAUUGCGAAUUGCGAAACUAUGAUUAAUUAACUUAGAUAAGUAAUCUAGCCUUUUUUAUUUUUUAUUUUUUUGUAAAUAAUUUAUGAUCCCGUUUCUAUCUAAAAAUUCUCAUCAUAAUCGCAUGAUUAAAAGAUUAUACUUUAUGGAUAUUCUUAGGAAAAAAAUGAUUAGUCAUUCGCUAAAGCAUGUUGUUUUCUUAAUUAUAAACAAGCUGAAUUCAUUUAAUUAUAUCUAUUUUCUUAACAGUGAUGUGUAUGUUGCAAUAAAAAAAUAUGGUAAUUGUUUUAAAUAAAGUUUAUUAUAGCUUAUUCUAGAUUUUUAUCCUCAUCCUAUAGAAUUAGCAGGGAAAUAGAGUCUCAGUACAUGAACAUGUGCUUGAUAAUUUUUGCAGUUUUUGUUUGUUCAAAGUGUACCUUUAUAUAUAACUCCUAAAUUUUCUUUUAUUAUAUAUAUAUAUAUAUAUAUAUAUUUCUGUCUAGAAUGUUUGUGGCAUGUUUUGUACGUUGAAAUUAACAUCAUUUGGUGAAAAAGAAUUAAAAUUAUAAACGUCAACUAAAAAAAAUUAAAAAAAUGCGCGUCAGUUGCUCAAAUUAACAAAUUUAAUAAAUAAAUCCAAUUAAAGUGAAAUACCACCGAGUUGCACAUUUGGGUAGCUUGGGUAAAACAUGCAUGAUCAAACACAAACAGUUUAAGAAAGUGGAAAAAGGGAAAAAAAAGAAAAAAGAAAAAAGAAAAAAAGUAACAAAUACACCCGCAUCAAGUAAUCAUCAGCUUAUUAAGCCACCAGUGUAAGGCACCCCUGUUCGUGGUAGCCAUUGAUCUCCCAACAGGAAAUUAGACACGGUGAAAUUAGCGGCAUCAGUUGCAUUAAUCGCAUGGUAACCAGGCCACGUAACUCGAUUGGCGGUGUUAGAUCCAGGUCCCCUGUUAUCGUACUCAGCAUAAUAUAAUGUACUCAGCGCGAAAUCUCCAGUCCAAAUCUGCCAGCCUGCAGGAUUUAUCAAACCAUCCAGGAAAGAUUGCAUAACAACAGUCCUCGAGUACUCUUUCCAUGGCCUCCCAAGAUAUGUUGGUAAUGUUCGAUUGCUCGAUGCGAGUUCAUCAGCAGCUCUAAAAGUGCAAUUAUGAAUGGAUAUGCCGGUGUUUUGGUUAGGGUCUGUUCGACCUUGUGCAGUGAUGACAUUAUAUUGUCCAAUCAUUGGUAGCCGUGCAUGGAUAUUACAAUUUUGGAGAACAACAGCGGCGUUUCCAAGUAUGAAAUCAAUUGUACCAUAGAUAUCGCAUUCUCUGUAGAAUUGCCUUAGAGAAUGUGUAUAUAAUGUAUCUUGGUACCCUUCGAAGCUGCAGCUAUAAAAUGUAGACAAAUCCCCCCCACUGCGUAGUGCCACAGCCUGGAACUUGCUUGGACCGGCUGUAUUUUGAAAAGUAAUGUCCACCGCGACAAAAUUUGGUGCCACCACAGCUGCGCAUGUAAUAUUUAUGCAUUUUGCAAAUAGUGAAUGAACUCAUUAGAAUACGUAUCCAAUAUAAGUUUACACUGGGGACAGUAGUAGAACACACACACGCACGCACACAUGUAAAAUUAAUUAAUUAAUUACCAAAGGUAGCAGAAUUGAACGUAGUCCAUCCAUCUACAGCGCUUCUGUUGCCAGUGAUUAUUGUCUGAUUGAUGCCGUCUCCUAUCAUCAUUAGAUUUAUCUUGUUCUUAGCAAUGGAUACGUAUUCUUGAUAGACCCCGUCCUUGAUAUAUAUCAAGAAGUAUCCAUUGCUAACAUCAGUAUCGUUUGGAGCUGCAUUAAUAGCAUCAUUGAUGGUGGAGAACAUUCCCCUCCCGUCCUGACUCACCGUCACUAUUUUGCUCACCAACACUCCACGUCCAUCACCACUGUUGAGUUUUCUUUUGCAUACUUUCUCGUAAAUUGCCCGAUUUUCAUCAGACAUUAUCAAUGGCAAGCGUCCGUCUUUGCCGAACAGACGUUGCGUUCCUGUAGGCAUCUGCCAUAUGGUUCCUUUCCUCUUCUGACCAACCCAACCCUUUUUGAAAAGAGCAAGCAAGACGCUGCUGAGUUUUGUGUCGUCUAAGAGAGGAACAGAGAGGCCAUUCGCUGUGCUCCAGGCCGAGACAGCGGCUUGAAGGCCAUCUAAACAGGUUUGUUGGUUUGUUAAGAUCGCACUAAGCCGAGUUUGCACGUCAUCCGCUUGCUUGGCAGGCAGAAUUUGACUAGUGUUGUUCACAGUUUGGAAGGACCUUGAAAAAUAGUCCAUGUUAAGAUCAGCUAGUAAAUAGCAGUCUUCCAGAGCACGUAUAGCAGCGGUCGAUAAAGUGGACGGCCGUUUAAGAUAAUUGUCAAUCAAGUCCAAGAAUUUUCGAGAUUGCGAAAAAGCCUUGCGGAAGGAGAAUCGGCCAUAGGUGUAGAUAUCAGUGGUUUGCUUAGCAUUAGCAAGCAUAGAUUUGCAAUAGGAUUGAUUUGGGGUGUACUUGCAAAUAGUUUCUGGUGUGACGCGACUUUUUCGAGCAAAAUUUGCCGCACAAGUUGGAUUGGAAAAGAAAGGAAUGGAAAUGAGAAUAGGCAAUGUUAUUAGGAGGAGGAGAUUUGAACCCAUUUGUUUUAGAUUAAGGGUUGAAAGAGAAGAGACAAGAGUUUGAAUGAUUUGUGCCAGUAAUGGGGUGUAUUUACAGGAGGUGAAUGGUAGCUUCGCUUCAUAUUAUGAUGCAUUUCUUUAAUUUGUGUCAGAAGGAGAAAUAUGGAAGUCAACUAAUUGUAAGGCUUUAUCAAAGAACGCGUUCGUUUUGAGAUUGAUAUUCUUAUGCAUCAUGCAUGCAACCAAAUUUGGAAUAAAAGCAUUAAUCUAUUUAUCUGUCUACUGAUAGAACGUGGUAUGAACAUUUCUUGAUUUGGCAAUCUUCCUUUGCCUUCCCCAAUUAGAUUUUCAACUGUGUCAUAAGUCAUAACAUGCAAGCUUCCAAUCAUUCUCCAACUUGAGUUUGGUUUAUGAAAAUUUUUAUCCAAUCUCUUUGUUUAUUAUUAUUAUUUCUCACGUAACCAACAUUCAAAUCUUUGAACCUUAAGGAACAGAAUAGGAAAUACAACAUUAAUGAUAUUGGUUAAAAAAAAAAAUGAUGACCAUUGAUAUGUUGUCAAGACUCGAGUUAUGUUAAAGUAUGUCAUAAGAUUACAAUGUUAAGAUCUGCGACAUUAAAGUUUAUGAAUAAUUCAGAAACAUUACUCUACAUUACUCUUUCUGGAUGCAAGCGAAUAGACAUUUUUCCAAGGUCAACCUGUACCGAAUCCAUAGUUGUAUGGUACGUUUGUUCUUGUGUGCUUGUUGAUCAAGGUUCGGUUGGGAAGUGAGUUUUUAUAUGUGCCUGGAAUAAAUCCUUUAUACUGGUCACACUCAACGCACCCAAUAGACGUGGCACGCACCAACGAACCUCUCACUUAUGAUAGAUUACAUUAAUAGCAAUAAUAAUAAAAGUCAAUGUAAUGCUCGGUGAUUGGAUAAUAUAGAAUUUACUCUGUUUCAGUUAAGAAUGUCAAGCAAAAAUUGGCAGAGCCAUAGUUGAUCGGCGACAAUGACCGAACCGUAGUCGGGAGUAUUUUACAGAAUUUGAUAUUAUAGAUAAAAAUGAGCAAAUGUUUGAAAUAUUCACUAAUUACUUCGAUUUUUGUUUGAAAUUUUCUUGCUUUAAUUUAUCUUUUUCCAACAAAAACAUAAAAGGAGAGAAUCGGGUUUUAUUUAUUUUUUCAACCAUCUGCGUUAAUUACCGCCUAUUCCUCUCGACUCUCGAGUCUCUUCCAGCCAUCCAGGCCGCAUGGCAUACGCUUGAUGCUGAUGCAUGCUUUGAGUUUGAGAUGCCGAUGGCGCUAGCUGACCAGCACCGCCCACAUCAUGAGAAUUUCACAAUUUUUUUUUAAACAAAUAAAGAAUAUUAUGAAUUAAGAGAGGAUUUUAUGCGAAAUUAGCUAACUUCUACUACCUUGGCUUACUAUUACUACGACUCUGUUGGUGAAGCUAAUUAGUUGCAAACGUUCUACAAAAUAAAUAUAUAAGUAGAUUUUAGAUUUUUCUAUCCAUCCAACAAUUGUAACAUUAUUAGAAAAAUAGUCCAUAUUGGUGUGAAAACUCCACCCAAAAGGUGAUGCUGCCGUCACUUUGCCAUUUGGAGAUGAUUUCGUCAAUCUCAUCGGCUACUGAAGACAAGAAAUUAGAUGACAAUUCAGCUAGAAGAGCCGUCAUUAUAUGGUAGUGUUCCAACGUCGCUACUUCGUUUUGGUGGUUUUUGCACCACCAAACACAUCAAUGUUGACGAAAUUAGUUUGGUUAUGUAUAUCAUCAAAAUUUGAAUUCGCUGGUACCAAAUUUGCCUUUGAAUUCAUUGAUAGACGCCAUUGAAGGUACCAUCAUUGUUGUCAAAACUGUGAAUGCCAAUGUUUUAUUUUAGACCAAUGCUAGCCAUCACAUCUAAGUCCGAAUUUGAGUCCUAAUUGAUGUGGCAUUCAUCCAUUAGAUGGUGAUUAACUAAUUUUACAAGUUAUUAAAUCCAUCAUUUAAUACAACAUAUUUCCUAAUAAUCUUCACUUUGACGAGUUUUUAAAUUAUGUCACAAAACAUGAUCCACGUGUAUCCACACAAUUGUGUCGUCUCCACCUUCUUUACUCUACCUAAAACUACACUCACAUAGUGUUUGUUAGAAUCACUUUAUGAUGGGUAAAAGGAGGCACACCACGGACUGGCUUUAUCAGUAUUUCCAUCUAAUGAUUUAGAACUACUAGCCAAACUUGCUCUAUUCCGACAAUAUUCGUUAAGGUGCCCAGAUUGUCUACACACUUCCAUGGGUUUCCACCAAUAGGAUCAUGGUUUAUAUCACCUUGCUUUUCUUGUGUAGCUAGAUUGAAUCAAUAUAUCCUUGACUUGAACUUACCAUAAGUCAAAAUUAAUUCUUCCAUCAAAAUUUUCAACUUCAAUCCUCACAAGAUUUGAAAAUUUAUACGCAUAUAUUAUUGCUUUACAUAACAACCUUUAGUUCUAAUACCACUUAAUAGAAAAUUUUAAUCCCACUCAAGAUCGUGCAAGCAAAAAUAUCAAACAAAUAAUAAAUGAAAAAGAGAUGGAGAAUAUAGUCAAUCACGUAAUAUAAGAAUUUACAUGGAAAAUUCGUAUAUAAAAAAAAACAAGGCCGCCAAGGACAACGAGAGAAAAAUUUACUAUGUAAAAAAUUAUGACAAUCAUUUUAGUAUUUUUUUUCCCACACUCAAAACCCUAAUAACACCUAAUCUCUUAAUAGACCUAUCAUUUCUCUCACACUAAAUAUUGUCUACUUGCAAAGAACUUAAUAUUUUUUUCUCACACUCAAAACCCUAAUAACACAUAAUCUCUUAAUAGACCUAUCAUUUCUCUUACACUAAAUAUUGUCCACUUGUAAAGAAUUGAUUGAUGUGUUAUACCAACAAGACGCGAAAUUAGUUAUUCCUUAAAUAGAAAUCCUACUAAAUAAGAAAAUAUUAUAGGAAAUCCUAAUUGAAAAAUAAGACAUAUUUAUUAACAAAAUAGUUGUGAAAGAAAGAAAAGAAAUUAAAGAAAGAAAAUUUAAUUUCUUAUUGCGAGUUUUCUCUCUAAACAUGUGCCAUGUUUUGUUCAGGACUACAGGAUCAGUGCGUGUGAUAUAGUUUAUACAAAAUAAUACUAUUUGGUAAAAAAGAAUUGAUACUGGACGCCAUCAAUUAGGAUAAUAAUAAAAGUUAGAAAAAUAACAAUCAUUUGCUGGAAUUAACGAAUAAAUAAAUCCAUUUGAAGUGAAUACCAGGCUGAACAUUUGGGUAGAUUGGGUACAACAUGCAUCAUCAAAACAAUUGAAAAAGGGGGCAAAAAAAAAAAAAGCAUCACGUGAUAAUUAGCUUAUUAGGCCCCCUGUGUAAGGCACCCCAGUUUGUGGUAGCCAUACAUCACCCAGCAGAAAAUUAGAGACAGUGAAAUUAGCGGCAUCGGUUGCAUUAAUCACAUGGUAACCAGGCCACGUAACUCGAUUGGCACUGUUAGAUCCAGGUCCCCUGUUGUCGUACUCAGCAUAAUAUAAUGUACUCAGCGCGAAAUCUCCAGUCCAAAUCUGCCAGCCUGAAGGAUUUAUCAAACUAUCCAUGAAAGACUGCAUAAUAACAGUCCUCGAGUACUCUUUCCAUGGCCUUCCUAGGUAUGUCUGUACGGUUUGAUUGCUUAAAGCAAGUUCAUCGGCAGCUCUAAAAGUGCAAUUAUGAAUGGAUAUGCCAGUGUUUUGGUUAGGGUCUGUCCGACCCUGUGCGGUGAUAACAUUAUAUUGUCCACUCAUAGGUAGCCGCAGAUAGAUAUUGCAGUUUUGGAGAACAACGGCAGCGUUUCCGAAUAUGAAAUCGAUUGUACCAUAGAUAUCGCAUUCUCUGUAGAAUUGCCUUUGAGAGUGUGUAUAUAAACUAUCUUGGUACCCUUCAAAGCUGCAGCUAUAAAAUGUAGACAAAUCUGCCCCGCUGCGGAGAGCGACAGCCUGGUGCUUGCUUGGCCCAGCUGUGUUCCGGAAACUUAUGUCCACGGCAACAAAAUUUGGUGCCACAACAGCUGCAAUUAUCAUAAUGUACAUAUAUAUUCAUUAAGUAGAAUAGUAAUAAGUUGAUCAUUAAUAUUUGCGGCAGUACUAGAACACACACAUAUAUAUAGAAGCUAGCUUUACGCCAUAUAUAUAUAUAGAUAGAUAGAUAUAGAUAUAGAUAUAGAUAGAUAGAUAGAUAGCUUAAUUACCAAAAGUAGCAGAAUUGAAAGUAGUCCAUCCAUCAACAAAGUUUCUGUCACCGGUGAUUAUUGUCUUACCAAUGCCGUCUCCAAUCAUCAUCAAAAUUUUCUUGUUCUUAGCAAUGGAGAUGUAUUCUUGAUAGACACCCUCCUUGAUAUAAAUCAAGAAGUAUCCAUCGGUAACAUCUGUAUUGUUUGGAGCUGCCGUAAUAGCAUCAUUGAUGGUCGAGAACUUUGCUUUCCCAUCCUGACUCACCGUCACUAUUUUGGUCACCAAGACUCCUCCGUCGUCACUCUUGAGUUUUCUUCCGCUUAAAGACUCGUAAAUUGCACGAUUUUCGUCGGACAUUAUCAAUGGCAAAUGUCCAUGUCUAUCUUUGCCGAACAGACGCUGCGUCCUUGUGGGAUGCCUUGUGAUGGUUACUUUCUUCUUCCUACCAACCCAACCUUUUCUGACAAGAGCAAGCAAGACGCUGCUAAGUUUUGUAUCCUCAAAGAGAGGGACAGAGACACCAUUCUUUAUGCUCUCAGCUGAAUUAGCAGCGGCUUGCAGCCCAUCUAAACAAGUUUGCUGGUUUGUUAACACAGCACUAAGCCGAGUUUGCACGUCAUCAGCUUGCAUGGCAGGUAGAAUUUCUCUAGUAGUAUUGAGAGUUUGAAAGCAGCUUGAAAGAUAGUCCACGUUGAGAUCAGUUAGUGAAUUGCAAUCUUCCAGAGCCCGAAUAGCGGCGGUUGAUAAUGUGGACCGCCGUUUAAGAUAUGUGUCAAUUAAGUGCAGGAAUUUACGAGAUUGCGAAAAGGCUUUGCGGAUGGAGAAGCGACCAUAGGUGUAGACAUCUGCGGUUGGGUUAGCAUUAGCGAGCAUAGAUUUGCAAUAAGAACGAUUUUUGGAGUGUACUUGCAAAUGGUUUCUGGUGUGAAGCGAGUUGUUGGAGCAUUAUCUAACCUUAGUGCACAAGAUGGAUAGGCAAAGAAAGGAAGGGCAAGGAGAAUUGGAAAUGCUCUGAUCAGAAAGAAGAGUUUGGAAGCCAUAAUCUUUUUAGACCAUGAAACAGAUUGAACUACGCUGGAAUGAUUUGUAUUAGGAUUUAGGUGAAUUUAUAGGAGGGACAGGGAGCUUUUACAAAUAUGGAAGUCAGCUUAUGAGACUAUCAAGCACGCAGUCUCAACAUAAUAUCCUAAUGUAUGCAACCAAAUUUGGAAUUAAAAUGUUUGUUAAAUUUAUCUACUUAUACAACGUGCCUGCUGUAUUCAUUCUUUGACAAUCUUUGCGUUGUAUAUUAAUGUCUGAACAUAUCUUUCUUGUGGGACGACAAUGUGUGAGUCAGGAUGGGUGAGUAAAUUAAGAUUUGUUUGGUAAUGAGAUUUGACAGUUAUAACUUAAAAGUUUUGCAAUUAAAGUAUUUAAUAAACACUAGAUAUAAUGGCUUAGAAGAUAAAUUGAGUUAAUCUCACACUUGUAUGAUAAAAAAUUUAUAAUAUCUUUACAUUUUUCCUCAAAAUUAUUAUUUAAAAGUCAUGUCUCUACAUGACCUUUAAUUUAUUUCAUAAUUUCAUUUUUUUUCCCACAGCAUCUCAUCAAACAUGGUCUAAGUUCCUUGUGGGCGUACCCACCAAGAUUAUCUGCAGUGACAUACACAUUACUAAUUUUCAGCCAGCUUAAGCAAUUAGGUUUGAACUAAAUUGAAAUUGAAAUAAAAUACCGAAAAUUUAAUCCAACAUCUUUCUGAUUAUUAUGUUGGAAUAUCUCAUUUACAUGCAGAAUAAAUUUCUAGAAGUUAUAACAUAUAAUUGUUGAUUAGUUUGGCAGGUAAAAUCUCUAAAAUUAUACAAGAUGUCUGGCAUUUGAACUUACUCAAAUAUGGAGAUGAGAUAUAAUUUCUAGUCAUAUGCUCACAAAAUUAAUAAUCGCCAAUAAUCAAUUAAAAUCCUAAGAGCAUAGAUGUGUGUGAUAUUAAUUAAAAGUUUAUAGUCGGUAGGGGACAAAAUUUUAAUGGGUUCUGAUGUGCCAAUACUAUUUAAAAAAGAAAGGGUGCAAAUGUCAAUGCGAUAAACGUAACAUAUGGAAUGUACUAGACUGUUUACUAAAUAGAAGAAACUUAUUGCCAGAAAACCAAAUAACUUUAAGGCAAUUAUUUUAAAACAAUGUUAUAUGAUUUUUGGCUAAACCCACUUUGAUUAAACUAUAUCACUAGAUCUCGUCUACUCUUGUGACUUCUUACUUAUCAUCACACUAUCAACUUGUACAAAGCAUUAGAGAACGCAAUACAAGAAAUACGUAUGCCUUACAACAACUACAAUAUUGUCUCAAGCGCUGAAACACUUCUAAUACCAAGCUUUUGGCUUCUAGCCUAAAUGAUUUUACAUCUUGAUCAAAUAGAAUAAUCAGACAUUAAAUUAAGCUUCAGGUUUUUUCCAGUGUCCGCGAUUAUAAAAAAAUUAUCCAUCUCCACAAAUAAAUUGAAUAAAUGUGCCUGGAAUACAGAUUAAAGUAUAUGGUCAACAGACCUAAUAGUUGUGACGCUUACGUAGGUCUCACUUUGGUUGAAUAAUCAAACAAAUUAAGUUCAUAGUGUUGGUUCCACAACUGUGAUAACUAGAGGACAAAAUCAAAGCGAAGGAAUUAAUCUGCAUCAACUUAGGUUGAGGUUGAAUCAAAUUAAAACACUCAUACAUCGGAUCAAUUAGAAAAAUGUGGGACUAUUUGAACCCACAAAAUUUCUCUCUACAUCUAUUUUAAAAAAUAAAAUUGUUACUUAAAUUUAAAUUUAAAAUUACCCUUCGUUAAUCACUUUUUGUCUCUACUUUACAAUUUUAUUUUUUUAAAAAAUUUAUUUUUUAAGCUUUUCUUAGUAUAUCAUGACCUAUAUUUCAUACUUCCUAUAUAUAAGGAAUUUUUUAUCUUGAUACUCAUUAGCUUUUGUGUUUAGUAAAAAUUAAUUUCUUUAUAUUCAAUAACUUUCAUGGUUGAUAAAUAUUUACUGAUGUUCAUUUUAAAAUAGUGGUUUUUGUUCCUUUUAGUUAAUAUUACCAAUUAUGUGCAGCUAAAAAAAUAAAUUUAAAUGAAUUGAUGAGAAUUUGUUAAAUUGAGAAGAGAAAAAGAAGAAAGGGUUUCUUAAGUAAUUUUUUCAAAAAAUUAUUUAAACAAUAAAAUUCUUAACUAAAAAGAGGGUGUAGAAAGAAAUUUGGUGGGAUUCAAACAAUCUCACCCAUUAAAAACUUUACUUUUUAUUUAACAACAUUUUAUAAACCAAAAACAUCAGUUUCUAAAGAGGGUGAGAUUAUUUGCACUCUAAAAAUUAAUUUUUAUACUCUAAUUUCAAUAAAAAUAUAUAUUAAAAAACACCCAUUAUGUGAAUUAUUGUUAAGGAUAAUAUAUUAUAAGUUAAUAUUAUAUAAUUAUUUUUGAACACCCAUAUACCACACUCAUUAUUCAAUUUACAAUUCUUAUACUUUAAACCUUAAAACUUUUAUUUUCAACCUUUUUAAACCUUUGGCCCUUCUUCUUCAUUUUAUUCAUCUCUUCAUCUUCUUCUUCUCCUUUUUUUUUCUUUUUUUCUUUUUAAAGUAUUUAUGGAACUUUUUAUUAUUAUGUUCUCAAUACAAGUUAUUUGGGAUGUAAAUUUCAAUAUUGAACAUAUUUUAAUAGUUAUAAUUAUGUCAAAUAAUUUAUUUACAAGUUGACUUAUUAUACUGUUGUAACUAUUUCUAUCUAAUUUAUUUAUUUUCAUCCUUAACUAAAUAAAAUUUACUAAUUAUCAUUAUUAUUCAUCUUCAUAACUUGUGAUAUGUAAAUGUAAUAAUAAAUCAUUGUUUUAAUUUUUUUAAAAUUAGCAUUAUUUAUCUUUAUAAUUUUUUAUGAAUAUUUUGUGUAUAACACAUUGUAAACAACAAUAAAAUUGAUUCACAUGUUCUAAUUUAGAAUAUUGAAGAUUGUAUUGACUUGAACAUGAUUGAUUUAUGUUCUUAUAAAAUACUAUCUUAUUAAUGUUCGUUGAAAUGUUUAUUACUUAUUUAACAUUUUAAAUUUGUAAGAGUAUAAAUGGAAAAAUAAUAGUUUUCAAACUUUUAAGUUGAGAAAAAUAAACAAAUUAAUAGAAAUAUGUCAUGUAAAUUCAGACAUUUAGCUUUAUUGAAAAAUCAAAAUUUAAACCCAUUCGUCUACUCCGAUUUUAUUUAAAAAAAUAACACACACACAAUCUAAAUAUUAGCAAUAAGUUACAAAUUGGUCUCUGAUUUUCAGCAAAAUUGCGCUUUACUUGAAGUGGGUGUGACAUAAAGUAAAUUUCAUAGAACCCUCGUUUAGUUGCAUUGACCUUUCCUUAAGUCCCAUAUGCAUGCGUUGACAUUUUUUUUUUCUUUUUAAAUUGUUUGCAAAAAUUGCAAUGACGGAAAACAACUAAAACACUCCUUAUUUGGUGAAAUUAAAUAUUUUUCAACCAGCAUAUUUUUUAUGUCAAUAAUAUUUUGUUAAUUGUCAACUUUAAUUUUUUACAUUAAAAUAAGUGUUAAAAUUGUUAUAUACAUGUAUCUCAACAGUUGGAUUUGUAUGAUACAAAAAAGAUCUUAAAUUGUCCUCUAAAAAUUAAGUAUUUUAGAUUAUUUAACAUUGGACCAUUAAGGGCCAGUUUGGAAAAUACUGUAACUUUUAAAAUAAUUGAUGUUAAUUGUGUUGUAGAAAUAAUCAGCUGUGAAAAAAAUCAGUUAAGUGUUUGAUAAAUUUUAUUUUCAGAAGUACUAUGACUUUUGAAAGCAAUUAUGGACGUUCGGUAAAUUUUACUAUUAAACUGCUGAGAGAAAACAAAUGUCUAAAAUGUACAUAAUGUAUGAUAAAAUUUACUUAUACAUAUAAUAUAAAUUAUAUUAAAAAUUUAUUAAAAUAUUGAUUUUGUUUUCAAUUUGAAUAAGGAUAAUUUUGGGUUUAAGUAAUAAUUUUAAGGAUAUUUAUGAAAUUGUAUUAAAGGAUAACUCAAAAUCAGAAUCUAAAAGAUACUCCUUCCAUUUUUUUCAAAAUCAACUGUAAGAGUGGUUGAUUUUGACAAAAGUGAUUUUGAUUUUUUUUAACACUAAAAUUACCUUUUAAAAUUUUAAAAUCGCUUUUAAAUCUUCCAAAAGCAAUCCCAAACGGAUCCUAAGAGGUUUCAGUAGAUUUUAAAACACAAGAGAAAAAAUGGUUUACUUCACAUAUAGUAUUUUUAAAGAAGAAUGUUGGAAUUAAAGGAUUUUGUUUUAGAAAAGUCUAGCUAGCUAAUAGAAUUUUUGACUUAUUAAAUCUCGAGAGCCAAAAAUUUCUUCUUCAAAUGGGCUAUUUGCGCAUAUGUGUUAACAAUAAAACGUUAACAGAAUUAGGAUUAAUUGUUGACAAACUUUAAUAUUUGUUACCAGAAUGAUAGAGUUGUGCAAAAUUUAGGAAAUAAGUAGCAUAAUAAAAAGCAGUAGGGACGAUUCACUGUUGCGGAUAUUUCAUCAUCAAUUUCGAUAACAACAUUAUUUAAACAUCUUAGUCAUUGGAGUACUUCUACUGCAAAAAAGUUAAAAAUAAAAAAAAUACAAUAGCAGUUCAAAUAUUAAAUUUAUUGUCAAUACAAUUGUACAUUUGAAUAGCUUGUGUAUCACACAUGAUUAUUGAGUUUGCAAAGCAAUUUCCCAAAAAAAAAAAACCGACGAACAGGAAGCUUCACAAGAUGAGUAGCUUAAUUAAAAAAAUUAACUAAUGAAACCACCGUUGUAAGGCACUCCAGUUUGCGGUAACCAAUUGUCCCCAGACAAGAAAUUAGAAACGGUGAAAUUAGCGGCUUCUGUGGCAUCGAUGAUAUGGUAACCCGGCCAAGUCACCCUAUUGGUGGUGUCUGACCCUGGGCCGGUAUUAUUGUACUCGGCAUAAUACAAUGUAGAUAGUGCAAAAUCGCCGCUCCAAUCGUGCCAACCAGCAGGGUUUAUCAAACUAUCCAUGAAAGUUUGCAUGUAAACAGUUCUAGAGUACUCCUUCCAUGGCCUCCCCAGAUAUGUCUGCACCGUUUGACUGCCCGACGCCAGAUCAUUGGAUGCUCUAAUUGUGCAAUUAUGGAUGGACGUGCCGGUAUUCUGGUUAGGAUCGGUCCUACCUUGUGCUGUAAUGGCGUUGAAUUGUCCACUCAUCGGCAGCCGGGGAUAAAUGUUGCAGUUUUGGAGAACAACGGCUGCGUUUCCGAAUAUGAAAUCAACUGUACCAUAUAUAUCGCAUUCUCUGUAGAACUGCCUUAGAGAAUGCGUAUAUAAUGUAUCUUGGUACCCUUCAAAGCUGCAGCUAUAAAAUGUAGACAAAUCAGCCGCACUACGCAGUGCCACAGCCUGGUGCUUGACUGCUCCAGCCGUAUUGCGGAUAGUUAUGUCCGAUGCAACAAAGUUUGGUGCCACCACGACUGCAAUAUAUUUAAUUUAUUGACAAUAAAGUCAAUAUUAGAAUAAUCGAGUUUAUUAAUAUAUUUUUGGCACUAGAACAUAAAAAAGACUAAUUGUGCAUGUAUAGGUAGGUAGGUAGCUUACUGAAGGUUGCAGAAUUGGAAGUAGUCCAUCCAUCAACAACGUUUCUGUUGCCGGUGAUUAUUGUCUGAUUGAUGCCGUCUCCGAUCAUCAUCAAAUUUUUCUUAUUCUUAGGAAUGGAGAUGUAUUCUUGAUAGACGCCCGCGGUGACAUAAAUCAAAAAGUAUCCAUUGUCAGGAUUUGUAUUGUUUGGAGCUACAUUAAUAGCAUCAGUGAUUGUGGAGAAAUUUCCAGUGCCAUCUAGAGCAACAGUCACAAUAUCGAUCACCAGGACUCCUUCAUCACCACCUGUGAGUUUUCUUCCUCUUACGGAGUCGUAGAUUGCUCGAAUUCGGUCAGACAUAAUCAGCGGUAAACGUCCAUUGUGGCCGAACAUACUUUGUGUCUUUGAAGGCUGCCAUGAGGUGACUAUCUUCUUCUCACCAACCCAACCCUUUCUGAAAAGAGCAAGCAAGACACUGCUAAGUUUUAUGUCCUCAAGUAACGGAACAGAGAGGCCAUUCUUUACGCUCUCGGACAAAGCAGAGUCUUGAAUGUCAUCUAAACAGGUAUUUUGGUUCGUUAAGAUGGCACUAAGCUGAGCUUGCACGUCAUCAGCUUGGAUGGUUUUCAGAAUUCGGCUAGUGGUGUUGGCAGCUUGAUAAGAGCUUGAAAGAUAGUCCAAGUUGAGACCAGCUAGUAAACGGCAAUCAUCUAGAGUGCGGAUUGCACUGAGUGGUAAUGUGGAUCCGGAUUUAAGAUAAUUGUCAACUAAGUUGAAGAAUUUUUGAGUUUGCGAUAAAGCUUUGCGGAUGGAUAAUCGACAAUAUGUGUAGGUAUCUGCGGUUUGGUUAGGGGUAGCAGGGAGCACCGAUUUGCAAUCUUUAGGUUUUGGAGUGUACAUGCAAAUAGUUUCUGGUGGGACAGGAGUUGUUGGUGGAUCAACAUUAUCUGCUGCAUAAGAUGGAUAGGCAAAAAAAGGAAGGGCAAUGAGAAUAGGUAUUGUUAUGAGAAAAAAGAGCUUUGAAGCCAUAAUUGUUCUAGACUGGCUAGGGAAUUGAAGAGAUCGAAUUCGAAUGAUGUGGGUGUUGUUAAUGUGAUGUAUUUAUAGGAGGCAAGUGUAGCUUUAAUUGCUUCAUAUUUGUGAUGGGCUUAAAAAUAUGGAAGUCAACUGUAAGAAUUUAUUAAACAAAGAAAACUUGUUUGUCUCGAUAAUUGAUAAUCUAAUGCAUGCAACCAAAUCUGAAAAUAAAAUUGUUAUUCCUUUUUUCCCUUGAUGGAAGUACUUGCAUUUUUAUAUUCAUUUUUCGGAAUACUUUGCUUUAUAUUGCCCACUAUUAUUGUCAACGGCGACAUAAAUUCCCCCACCACCGGUGAUCCACUAUUACUAAUUUUGGUUAAUUAAUCCAGCAAAGCAUAUGAUCCGCGGUUUCAAAUUUUGACCAGUUAUUCCGAGCACGAGGCCAUAUGAGUUCCGACUACGUUACAGAUUCUGCAAGUGACAGCUAGUGAUUUGACAUGAUCAUCACUCAAAUAUUGGCACUUGGUCAAUUAAUCAAAGUCCUAAGACAUGAUGACCGGCAAAAGGUGGUACAUUGUAGUAUGGUUUGUCUUUACUAUUACUGCUACAGCUAUUAUUAUUAGUAUAGCUAACACUACCAGUACUAAUUUUUUUCACUAUUAUAAAAAUUUUUAUUAACUAUCACGCGUUCAGGACUCUUAAGUUAUGAAUUAUAAAAUAUAUUCGUCAUCAUCAAUUUUCACUACUAAAAUAAGUCAUAAAAAAUGUAUCGUCGUGAUGUCGUAGAUGUAACGAUGUAAAAACUUAUAAUAUUACCAUACACAAUAUAACAUGCUUUUAUUAAUUUUUGCUUCGAAAUCAAAUUAUAUCAAAGAGACACUUUGAGCAUGAGUUUUGAGGGAUCCUACAAAUGUUGAAUACUUAGAAUUAAACUGUGAUAAAUACGGUGCAAAUUGUGCUAUGAAGCAGUGUUAGUUGGAAUACUAAAAAAGGGAAAGGAGCACAUGUUAAACUAAUUAAUUUUCUAACUUUGAAUUGCGGGUGAAAUACGAAGUUGAGGGUCAAAGACGGAGCCAAAAUUGACAUUCUUUGGGGCCAAACUGUCAAAGGUGUUAAGUUUAAGUGCCAUAUUCUGAAAAAUACUUCAUAAAACUGAGGGUAAAUGAUUAAGUGUAUAACAUUUAACUUGACUGGGGCCAAAAUACAAGAUUCUCAAUAUCUUAAGCUCAAAUUAUAAUAUGCAGCUUAUAUAAAUAUAUAUCUUUUUUGGGGUCUGCAGGGACCGCAGGUCACAGAGUGAUAAUAUGAAUUUCAAUAUAUUAGCAGGUUACCCUCCUCCUCAAUUAAAUUCUUACAUUUUCCUUCCGCACCAUCUGGCAUUAGAUUUAUGUCGUCUAAUCCAACAAAUCAGAACAGCUUUGCUGGUAGUUACAAAAUCUUUAACGUAGUUGGAGCCUAACUUUUGAGCUAUUAUGAAAUAAAAACUAACUUCAUAAGUUUUCGGUGAUACAUUACGUCAGGCUCAAGGAUAAACGAAAUUGAAAAAAAAUAAGAGAGAGAGAGGGAAAACCUGCCACAGUCCAAUUGUGACGGUUACCAAACACCGCCGUGGCAGCAACCCGGUUGCCGGGCAACAUAAAUAAACCGGGACUUAGACUUUAAUGAUCACAACUUGAUAAGGUAGCUAGUUGCGGAUGUGAUAUUGAGAAUAUAUGAAAAGGGCAAAAUUUCAAUGGUUUGUUAUGACUUGAAAUGAAAAGAAUAUAUAUGAACCCACGUACCCAAAUAUCAUUACUCCUUCUUAGUAGUUAGCGUAUUUACUGGGUUAAAAGAAUACAUGUACAUUUUCUCACAGAAUUAAUACAACUUUCAUUGGGCGCAGAAUGAAUUUUGAGAUCCUGAUUCGUCUUCUAAGUGGGUAUUAAUUUACUUUGGUGAUCUUUCGAUGAGCUUGGUAGCUCCUAAAGUAGAUAUAGACGGGCAAGAAGUUCUACAACAAACGAUAGUAUGAAACCUCAGCAACACUAACACAUCAAUUAUUCUUAGUGAAGAUGCAAUGGUUUCAAAGUCACACGUACGUGUCUAGCUGCAAGUACUUCUGAAGUCUGAACCCAACCAAUCCGAAGACGUAUUGAAAUUCUUAUUCUUGUCUGCUUGUCGAUCGACCAAGGUUCGGUGGGUACGUGUGUUUUUAGAUAAGGCGUGGAAUAAAGACAAUACAUGGUCAAAACGCCCAAUUGUUGUGAUGCUCACGUCCCACUUAUGUUGUAAUAAAAUAAUAUCAAAGAAUGUGAAGGCAACUUAUGCUUGGUGAUUGAUUCCUUGUUUAAUAAGAAGUGAACGUAACCAAAGAGAAAUCAAUUGGGCCCAUUUACAUUGAGGUGUCUUGAUUGUAGUAAAAUAAAAACUACAAUUAUGAAAUAAAAAUUUAUAAUGUGUGGUAAAUAUGAUUUUUAAAUAAUAAUUUUAAUAAAAAUAGUAAAAAUAUUAUAAAAUUUUUAUCAUACAAGUAUAUGAUCAAAUCAACCUCACCUGCAAAUCACAGCAGGAUAAACAUUUUAAUGCUCUAAUUUUUAAGCUUGAGCUGCCGAACACGCUACCAAACAAACCUUUAGUUAACAUCAGCUAACUAUAUAAACUGAUGGAAUUUUUUUUUUAAUAGCUGAAUUGCAACAUAAUUUCUUUCCACCCAUGUCGUGAAGUUCAAAUAUCUAAAUCCUAUUUCUAGUUAAGAACUUUCACCAACGGACAAGUGGCACCGAUUUUCAUUGAAUAGAGUUUUAUAUAUAGAGAGAGAAAGAGGGUUGAAUAAAGAUACAAUUGGAUUUUAGCAAUGAUCUAUAUAAUUGAAACGUUUAGGGUCUUAUCCAAAAAAAUGUUUAGGGUUAUUUUUAAGAUAAACACGUACGUGGGCGUGGAUCAAUGGUGAAGUAGAAUGUUGCUUAAGCCCUUAAACAAGAGAAGAAUAACAAUUUUUUUUAAUUUAUAUGGUGAUUUCAACCCACCAAUUUUAUUAUAUUACAUCAAUUUAAAUAAGAAAAAAAAAGAAGAAGCUAAAACUAUAACUAGCGUUAUGAUCAGAAUUUAUAUCGGAAUGUACUUUUAACCUGUUUAGUUUUAGUACUUGGUAUUUUGUUAAUGAAAGUAUGAAACCUUUCCCCCAACUUCCAUUCUUCAUUGAGUCCUUUCAGAAUUUUGGGACAAGCUUAGGAGAGGCCUAUUGAAUGAAGAUUGGGCCUGGCCCGGUAUACCGGCCCAAUCGGAAGACGGCAUGUUCUUUUUCCUUGCUUGUAGGUCAAACAAACAAAUUAGCUCCUUUUGAUAUUUGAACUAUGCAUUUCUCUCGCUUCAUCAAAGACGUGCCAUCUUGGAUUUCAAUGAUCUCACCUCAGAAUCAUCAAGGAUUUUGUCAUUCGAGUCUCACUCACUCCAUUGAAUAAAUAAUACAACGAGCCGCCCCCGUUUUGCACGACGGUCACGUAUAUUGCAUGAUUAUUUCACUUCCCAAGGUAAUAUAUUUUGAAAUACCGUUAUAAAUACAUAUAGACAACACGUGCACACGCAUACUUGGCUGAAUGAUUCACAAGGGUGCAAGCGCGUAAAAUAUGUACUGAUUUUCUUAGUACAUUAGUCAGACGAAACAUACGCCAUAUCCAUCCAACUUGAUCAUUGGAGAUUGGAACCAGAGUUUUAAUGUGUAACUUACAACUAAUUGUAUUAAUUAUUGUAAUUUCAACAUGGAAACUGUGUGACGACGAAACAGUGAAGCUUCCUUAGACUAUUUUAAAAUUCUCUCACAGUUUUCUUUAUUAAAAAAAAAGAAAGAAGUAGUAAUAGCAUUUGAGCCAUGAGUUUUUAUGUUUAUUCGAGUAAACAUAUAACUUGUUAAUUUUGUAUAAAAUUGGUCCCUGACCUAGUGACCUUUAUUGGAAUAAUAAGCAUAAUUGGAAUACAUGUACCUUUGGAUUUCAGUUGUUAUCUAAAUGUUAGUAUUCCCAUCAUUAUUGAUAUUAAGGAUUGGAUAUUUGAACCUAUAAAAAGUACACUCCACACCUUUUUUGUUUAUAGUUAAUUGCAUUGUGUUUAAUCUCAAGCUUUACUAGCAAAAUCCAAAAAUGAAUAUUCAAGUCGGGUCAUCCCAGAUCACGUCAGGCAGCAAAUUAUAAUGCAAAUCACAGGGUCUAAGUAGAUUGCUAACAAAGAAGCUAUAGAAUUUAAUUUAUAAGAGUAAAAAUUUCAACCUGUGAUUUAUAUCUUAGUUGGGCAAGGAAAUUGAUAGGGAAACUGAGAAAGGACAACUGAAAGAUUAAACACAGCUACAAAUUAAAGCAUAAUUUAUUAAUUCAUCUAUUCAUUUUAAUCGCAUACUUUUUUUUUUCUUAAUCAAAAUGUUUUCAGGUAACUAGAGCUGAAAAUUUUAGGAUUAAUUGGUUGGCUGCAAUUGAAUUUUUGUUAUUCUCAUUGGUUUAAUAUUGCUUAUCAAUAGUUGUGUAAAUAGUUUUGGUGGGUUUUAUUUUCCAAACAAUAUCUAAAAGAAUUUAAUUAUAUGAGGGUAUUUUUAGUAUUUAAGUAGUUGUAUUUGUAUAGAGCAUAGUUUCAAAUUUUAAAUCUUAGUAGAAUGUUUAUUGAAUAAAUGGGUUUAACGAGUAUUUUGUUGAAUUUUCUCAUUUAUAUGUGGUUGGUCGAAAUUAACCCAAAAUACGAGGGUCUUUCGUAGUUUUACAAAGCAGUUAUGCUGUCGUGGAUCUAUUUAUCUAAAAUAGAUCGAACUAUGUCCUUCUUUGGGUAAAAGUAAAAUAAUUCGUGGGCCCACCUACUAUUAUUCCAUGUUCAAAUCCAUUGUAUAAUGACUCGAAACUAUUUGAAAUCAUGAGCUAUUGGUCCAGGAAGGUCGCCCGUAUCCCCAGUGAAGUGUCAAAAUCUCACAUGAUCGACCAAUGAAAAGAGUUCUGGAUCUGUCCUUAUCUAUAACAAAUCAAUGAAGAAAAACAAUAAUAAUGAUAUUAUUUUAGUACUACUGCUGAGAAAGAAGAAAAUGAGAUCACUUUGCUCGAAUUGACAAAUCAAUUAUUGCAUAGAAUCAAUUAAUACCACGCUGUACAUGAGAAUAGCUGGCAGUUUACAACGAAUGGCUUUUACAAAACAAUUACUCUCUGAAAUAAAAAUAAAAGAAGAACCAGAACGGAUAUUGAAUGAGUACUGUGUGGUAGCUUUAAAUUAAGGCACCAGUGUACGACACUCCGGUUUGUGGUAUCCAGUCGUCUCCCAACAGGAAGUUAGACACAGUAAAAUUAGCGGCAUCGGUUGCAUUGAUGGUCACAUGGUAACCAGGCCACGUAACCCUAUUGGCAGUGUUUGACCCAGGUCCGGUGUUAUUGUACUCGGCAUAAUAUAAUGUACUUAGCGCGAAAUCUCCACUCCAAAUCUGCCAACCGGCAGGGUUUAUCGAACUAUCCAUGAAAGAUUGCAUAUAAACGGUUCUAGAGUACUCCUUCCAUGGCCUCCCCAGAUAUGUCUGCACCGUUUGACUGCCCGACGCCAGAUCACUGGAUGCUCUAAUUGUGCAAUUAUGGAUGGACGUGCCGGUAUUCUGGUUAGGAUCGGUCCGACCUUGUGCUGUAAUGGCGUUGAAUUGUCCACUCAUCGGCAGCCGGGGAUAAAUGUUGCAGUUUUGGAGAACAACGGCUGCGUUUCCGAAUAUGAAAUCAACUGUACCAUAUAUGUCACAUUCCCUGUAGAACUGCCUUAGAGAAUGUGUAUAUAAUGUAUCUUGGUACGCUUCAAAGCUGCAGCUAUAAAAUGUAGACAAAUCUGCCCCAUUGCGUAGUGCCACAGCCUGAUGCUUGAUUGCUCCAGCCGUAUUGCGGAUGGUUAUAUUCACUGCGACAAAUUUCGGUGCCACCACGGCUGCAAUUUUUAUCACCAAAAGAAAAUCAUUAGAAUGACAUAAUCAUCUUCCAAUACUACAAUUAACAAAAUUUAAAAUCAAAAAAAUAAAAUAGAAGUGUGUGUGUAUAUAUAUGUAUGUAUGAUUAUUACCAAAAGUCGCAGAAUUGAACGUAGUCCAUCCAUCAACAACGCUUCUGUUGCCAGUGAUUACUGUCUGGUUGAUGCCGUCUCCAAUGAUCAUCAAAUUUUUCUUGUUCUUAGAAAUGGAUAUAUAUUCCUCGUAAACACCCGCCGUGAUAUAAAUCAAGAAGUAUCCAUUGGUAACAUCUGUAUUGUUUGGAGCAACAUUAAUAGCAUCAGUGAUGGUAGUGAAAUUCCCGCUCCCGUCUUGACUCACCGUGACAAUAUCGCUCACCAAGACUUCAUCAUCCGGAGCAGCUUGGAGAAGUUUUCUUCUGCUUACAGUCUCAUAAACUACACGUGUUUUUUCAGACAUUUUAAACGGUAGCCGUCCGUUCCGGAACAGACGUUGCUUCCUUGUGGGCUGCCAUGCGGUUGCUUUCUUCUUCUUAGGGACCCAAGCUUUUGUGAAAAGAGCAAGAGACACACUGUAGAGUUUUGUGUCGUUGGAAAGAGGGAGUGAGAGACCAUUCUUGACGCUCCAAGCGGAAGCCGUGUCUUGUAAGCCAUCAAAACAGGUUUGCUGGUUUGUUAGAAUGGCACUAAGGAAAGUCUGCACGUCAUCCGCUUGCAUGGUGGGUAAAGUUUUACUAGUAGAAUUGACAGUUUCAAAGGAGCUUAAAAGAAAGUCCAUGUUGAAACCAGCUAGUAAACGGCAAUCCUCUAGAGCACGUAUGGCAGUAGUUGAUAAUGUGGCGCGGCGGGUGAGAUAUUUGUCAACUAGGUUCAAGAAUUUACGAGAUUGCCAUAAAGCUUUGCGAAUGGAGAAUCGGCCGUAGGUGUAGACAUUUGCAGUUUGGUUAGGGAGCACGGAUUUGCAAAAGGAUGGGUCCGGAGUGGAUUUGCAAACCGAUCCAGCUGAAACAGGAGUCGUUGGAGCGACAUCUGUUGCAUGUGAUGGACGAGCAAAGACAGGAAGAAGUGCAAUAAGAAUAGGUAUUGUUAUGACAAAGAAGAGCUUUGAAGCCAUUAAUUAAUUUUGGAGUAGACUGGAGAUUGAAUAAGAGAUGGAGUUAUUUUGAAUGGCUUUAAUUUGUACUUUGAUGUAUUUAUAGGAAAGACGGGUACUUAGCUUUGCUUCAUAGUUCAUACUGUGAUGCAUUAAUUAAUUAUGGAGAAGUAUGCAUGGAAGUCAACAUCUUGGACUUUUAGGUAGAAAACGCGUUUGUAUGGCUUGAUUUAUAUUUAUCUAUAUAUCUUCCCUUCUAAUAAUACAUGUAACUUUUGAUUGAACGUAGUUAUACAUUCAUGCUUUCGCAAUUGAUCACAUUUGGAUUGUCAAAACUCAAAGGUGAAACAUGCAUGUCGAAUUACUCACCGUCUUUGGUUAUGCUUAUUAAUUAAAUCUAUUAAGGUAAGUUACGACCAAUUAAUUCCAUUAUUACACAAAUACUUAACUUUAGAGAUCAUCAUGAGAGAGUGUGAAGUGCUUAGAGUAUCUCCAAAAACAUAUAUAAAUUUUACUCUUCAAAUACUUAUUUACUUACCUAUGUGGCAAAUAGAAGGGUGAAAAAAUAUGAUAUUCUCCAAAAGACUCUUCAAAUAUAAAUAAAUUAAUAUUAUUUUAAUCAAAUAAUUAUUUUUUUAAAGGAAAAGUCAAUAGCAAUUAAAGCACUUCUCUCUCUUUCUUCAAUGAAAAGUAAUAAAAUAUAAAUUGAAAAGUGAGAAAUUAACUCUCCAAAUUUGAAGAGAGAGAAUCAAUUCUUAUUUGAAGAAUCUUAAUUGGAGUGUCUUUUAGAGCUUUAAAUAUUGAUGUGACUCUUCAAAUAAGUAAUAAAAUCUUAUUUGAAGAGUCUUUUGGAGAUGCUCUUAGAAGCUCUCCUAUAGAGUAGAUGCAUUAUGCAUGGUGUUUCGACCCAUUUUUCGCUCAUCUGAGUGGUACAAGCUGAUAGACAUUAAAGAUUUGUUUGAUUAGAGAUGGUGAAGUGAUGCCUUGGAUCGGUUAAAAAGCUAUGUCUAAAGGAGCCUGGGGGAUUCUAUAGGACUUAGUGAGCCUUAAAAGGCUUACAAGGCACACAGCGAACAAAAUCAAGUAAAAAAUGAUGGACAAUACCUCAAUGGGGCAGAAGUAAAAUUUUUUCAGACAGUGCCAAAUGUUUUAGGCCAUUUUUUUUUCAUCUUAGCGGUGCAAGCCAAGGGACAUCAAGAUUUGUUUGAUUGGGGAGGGUGAAGUGUUGCUCUAGAUCAGUUAAAAAGUUGAGUCUAGAGGAGCCUGAGAGACUCUAUGGGCCUUAGUGAGCCAAAGGAGCCUUAGAAGACUUAUAGGGUUCCUUUAAAGAGUCUUGAGAAAACUCUAAAGAUGCUUUGGGGGGCUCGAGGAGAUCCGAGGAUGCCCUAGAAAAAGCAUAAGGCAUAUAUAAGCAUAAAUAUAACACAUAAGAUUUACAUGGUUUGACAUAUAUCUUAUAAGGGCAAUGUCUUGUUAACCCAUCUAUUAUGUUAAAUAUGAUAUUACAAAGGAUUCUUUACAAUAUAAUUGAUAAAUAACAUAAAAGGAAUUUUCCUAGUGCUUUUUCCUCUUAGGAUCCUUAAGGGAGCUCUAUGUUUCUCUGCGAAGACACUUUCGAAGAGUAUCCUUGAGUGUGGAGGAUAAUAUGGAGGAUGGUUAUGUUGUGUCAACCACAAAGAAGCAUAUACGUAGCACUAGCCUCUUAGAAAGAUGAGGCCCGAGAUAAAGAUUAAGGGAAAAAAUGGCUUUAUGGAGAGAUGAGUAGUGAAAAUAAGGACUUGUAUGGUGCAUGAUGUUCAGAUGUGAAAGCUCUAAGAAUGGAAGAAGUGAAGAGUUUUUGGAGAAGUUGGAAAAGUAAAAGACCUAUAUUUUUACAUACAAUGAAGAAAGAGAAAAAGAUAAAGAAAAGAAUUAAAAAAUGAAUGAGACCCUUCCUAGGAUAAGCUUAAUUUAUAUAAUAAGGUUAUUAAGGGCAUCAACAAGUCUCUCAAAACACAUAACGGAACUCGAUUAACGGGUCCUCUUUAUACCCUUGCAUUUGCAUAAUUUUUAGUCGAAGUUCAAAUAUUUAAAGUCCUUUGAAUUCAUCUUGUAUUACACGUGACAAUUUCUCAUUAAAGGAUUUUUUUUUACCUAAGAACCCUGUAGUCCUUUUUCACGUAGCGCAUUUUGAUUUGCCCUGACAUUUGGCAAGUGUAUUAGGCACCUCAUAAGCUUCUUGAUAGCGGCACGCCUAUUUGUUCCCUAGGGAUCACUAUUUUGUAUGAUAGCGAAUAAGAGCCUUAAGAUAAACUUGAGACACAAGAUAAGGUCUGUGGAUCCCUCCUUCUAAAUUGGCGAUCAUUUUAACACUUGAGGUUCCUUUGAGCUGGGCGAUUCUAAUUGGAGAUGGUUUCAUGUCCUUUGGAGUCCUAAUGUUUGACUUUUGAAAAUGAAAAAGUAGCUUUUGAAUCAUAAGUAGGGAUGGCAAAAUCUAGGUGUGGGUCCAGGUUUGGCCUUCCAGGUUCUGGACCAAGAUGCCAAUUUUACUUUACCCGACCUAAAUAUAUACCCGAUUUUUUCGACUCCGGGUUCGAUACGGGUUGAACCCGAAAAAAUCGGAUUUCUGGAUUCUGAGUUUCGAACUCGAAUUUGAUUUUAGCUGUGGAAAACAAUCAUCUUCGAUUAUUUUUUACAACUCUGAAUUUCUAGCUGCAAACAGAUGAACACACAACGACAAUAGACAUACGAAUACUCACACCCAAAUCUGUCUAUAGUUCUCAUUAAGCUCCACCCGCAAGUUGUCACAAAGAUAAACUUUUGGUGUAAAACAACGACAAUAGACAUACGAAUACUCACACCCAAAUCUGUCUAUAGUUCUCAUUAAGCUCCAGUAAAAGGAAUCUUUGGGCCUUACCAUUUGGUGUAAAAGGAAUCUUUGGGCCUUACCAUUCCACACAGCCAAAGCUCCCAACAACACCCAAAAAAAUAUAAUAAUAAUAAUAAAUAAUCCUCCAAAGCAUCUGACCCAACGUUUCCUCCCAUGAUAUACGUGCAACUUCAACCCAUAUCACAAUCGUCGCCAAUCGCGACAUAGAAGACUAGAGAGGUGGCUGAUGACGAUGAUGAUAGUGAACACAACUGUGAAGGACAAGGUGGCGAAGCGAUGAGAGUAACGACAAUAAAGAUUUGAUGAAAGGAAGAGGAAACAUGCGAUGCGGCUAUGAAUUGCAAUUUGCAAAUUAGGGCACAUGAUUUUUUUUUUUUACUUCUCUAUUUAUAACUUAAAAUAGUUUUAUAACUUAAUAUAAAAAUAAAGAAAUACAAGUCCGGGUUUCGAAUUUUCGGGUUCAAAUAAAAUCGGAUCUGGACCCGGAUAUAUGCGGGUUCAUAAAAUUACAUCCAGAUUUCGGAUAAAAUUAAAUCUGGUACGAGGUAAACCCGAUCCGGAUUAUCUGGGUUCGUCCGGAUCUGAAUCGGGUCCAAAAAAUAUUGUCAUCCCUAAUCAUAAGGCACCUAUGCAGGCUUUGGCAUUCCUCCAUUUGCUUUAUUCCCUUUGUAUCUUACUCUUCGUCUGUUGAUUGCGUUCCUACAGGAUCCUUUGUGGAACCUAGGGCCCUUUUGAAGCCUAGCGAUUCUACCUACCUGAUGCUUCCCUCACAUAUCCUUCUCAUCAUUAAUAUGUUUUCUUCCAUUGUUGGCCUAAAAUUAACCAUUUACAAUAUCACCCUAGUCUCCUUUAGUGAAGAGUGAGGUGAAGGAGAAAAUUCUAUCUAAGAACACGUGUCGUUGUUCUAUUUUCUUUCCUCUAAUCCACAUGAUGCUCUGAAACUGGGUUAACCAAAUUUAUCCACGAACAAAUGAGACAAUUAACAAAACUUUGAAAAUUAAAAAUAAAAAGCAAGCAGAAUUGACACACACACACACACCACAAACCUCAUUACUAUUGUAGCUUUUUUUUUUUUUUUUGGCAACUAUUUUAGCUGAAAGUUUAGUUAAGACGAGGUUAUUUAUUUAUUAUUAUUAUUUUCAAUUGGAAAGAUGUGUCUAGAAAGUCAAGCUAACGCUGAGCCCAACCACUCCACUAUUAGUUUAAUUAUAUGUAUUGAAUUUUUAGUUCUUGUUUGCUUCUUGGCCGAUCGGGUUUCGGUUGGUAAGGUUGUAUUUUGAUUGAGUUAGAUUUGCCAUGGAAUAAAACCAGCACAUAGUCAACCAGCCCGUUCACUUCUAAUAUUUGUUAGAUGAUUGGUUCUUUGUCUGAUAAUACGACAACACAAACAAAUAUAUAAAUAUUAGGAAAUGAUUUAAAUGAUCGAAGAUUAAUAUGAAUCGAAUCUCACUCAAUGUAUAUUAACUCUCCGACACAAGGCCGCUUUCGUUUUGCUUCAAGUAUUAUUGAUUUCAAGAUUACCUCCCCCAAGUUGACAUAUUUAGAAAUACACGUCAUAUAUUCUGCAUAUUUUGAUUCAAUGACACACGUUCCACAAGCGCGUGAAAUUUUUUUUCCAUUUUGCAGUUUUCGGGAACCGAUUUCGAUCAAACAGAUUCGUAAGUAAAAUUAUUUAAAGCUUUUUUUUUGUUUUUUUUCUAAUGCUAAUAUGCAUUGUUACAAUAAAAAAUACUAUUAAUAUUUACAAUCAUAAAAUAUAUUCUUAAAUCAAAACUAUAAAGUAUAGUCUAAAAUUUUAACGUUAUUAAUAUCUGAGAUAUUUAUUUCACUCAUAUGAAUAAAGUAGAUAUCUAUUUCUAUCUUAAUAUUUAAUUAAUAAAAAAGUAUAUGUUAUAGAGACUCGAAUCAUUACUGUCACAAAAAGUUAACAAUUAGAAAUUACUAAUACAAUUGGUGCUUACGAAACUAUGAAGAAGAUUCUUGGAACGAUUUACUCUCUCGUCGUUCAACACUUCCAACUUGUUUUAGAAUAUAUAAUAUUGCAGUAUUGCCAUUAUAAUGUCUCCUGCAUCUGAUCUGCAUGCUCAUAAUUUAAUUAUUAAACAACUAUCGAUACUUUGGUUAUUGUUGACUAAAAAUUUUUAAUAUGUUCCUAUUAGUUGAAGAAACUAUAAAUUCGCCUAACAAAGUCAAACGUCUCGAAUAUUAUAUAUAUUCUUAGCUGCCAAAAUUUUGAAAGAAUUCAAAGGCAAGGCGUAUAAGGAUUUAAACGAUUAGACAAUAUUAAUCAUAAGAAAAUUUGGUAUGUGAAACUUUGAAAAACAGCUACGAACAGGCUGGCGAGCCGAUUCUAUUUCUUUUGCUGGUGGUUUUCAGCAGGCAGCACCGGGCCUAGUUGUUAACAUUUUGACACCGACGACGCGUAUGACUCGUGCAAUUUCUAAUUUACUAUUUCGUUUACUUUUCCACGUAUUGGCGGCUUUCUCAAAAGACCAAAUUGCUUAAUUUUUUUGAGUAAUCAAGUUGAUGCGUUGCUAUGCUAUCCUGCCCACUUAGCAAGAUAGCAUUCUCCUCCCGUAAUUCUCCCUCUAUUAAUUUGUGGAUUAAUAUAAAGUUAGGCAUUGGUUUGUUCUCAUCUGAUUAUUUUGUUUUUGUUUGUGUGCACACAAUUCUUAAUCCCCUUUCUAAAUACUAAUCUAGCUAAAUAGAAAACAAGCGCAAGGGUUUAUAGAAGAAAAAGACGAGCAUUUCUGGGUAAUCAUGUGCGAUUUGGUGCAUAUUAGUAAAAAAUUACGAGCAUUUUGCUUUGAAAUAAGUAGGGCCGCAUUUUAUUAAGAUGGGAACCUUUGCCGCGAUGGUCCUUAUUUGAUAAAUGCUACAAAAAUUCACAGCAAAGAUACAACAACACGCAUGGUUCUUAGAUGUAAUUAAUCUGAAAGCCAAUCCGUACAACUUGUUAUUCAAAAUUGCGAGUUUCAAUUGGUACUGUUUGUACAUGUUUUGAAUUUGAUGCCAUUGUUUUUUCCUUUGCCGUCGUACAUCUGUUGGAUUUCCUAUUAAGACGGUAAAUCAACUGUCGCUUAGUUCCUCUCUGCAUCUGCAUGUAGAAUGUAAUUACUAAUUACCAAUCAUGUUUCCUUCUUGCAGAGAAAUUUGUUUCAAUUGAUGUCGUGUCCGUUGUUUCUGUGCGGUGGGGUUGGAAAAGAACUGGAAAACAAGAAUACCGCAGGUAAUAUAUAUUUUGGAUUUUGGAAGCUUUCAAGAGCUUGGGCUCUAGAAACUUCAGGCCCAUUGGUUUCACAGUGGCCAUUGCAGAGAUGUAGUGUUGACCGCAACUGGCAUAUGUGGUCCAAGGCUCUUCAGGAACUCAAAAUAUGUAGUCCCCAGUGAUAAGGGCAGUACUAUUACCAGACCUCUUAAACCCCUCCGUUCUCCUUCUCACAUAACUCUUACCGUCCACGUCUAAGCCCACCCACGAGCGUAAUAUACGUCUUUUACUUCUUGCAAACUCUUUACAUUUGUUAGUGAAAAGUGAAAAACACAGGAGAUUUGGUUGAGGGGACUGAUAAGAAAAUAUUACCAAUAUCAAGUUUAUAUUUUAGAGAAUUAUAUAUGAAAACAGCUAGUAUGUAAAUUGUGUAUUAUUUAAGAAAAUAAUACCGCAGCUAAUAUAUAUAAGAAAAUAGGAUGGAUUCACCUACCUUGCAACUGUUGCAAGGUACCACCAAUUUGAACUUUUUCUAAUUUCAAUCCGUCACCAUCGGGUCCACCAAAAAAAUAGUUAAAACGGAUGAAUUGUAUUAGUUUGAAUUUUAACAUUAUACUCCCUACUGUUUAUGAAAAUUCUUAAAAGUUAAAGAGAUAAAUUUCUAACAUAUAAGUCUGGAUUUUUUAAAAUUAUAAAUAAUUAGACAAUUAAAAAUCAUUAACUUGCUUUUUUUAACCUUAUUUGAUUAGAGAUAAUCAAACACGCUGGUACCAUUAGAAAGUCAUUAUUACCAACCACAUCAACGGUCGGCUGCCACUAGAUUGCAAAACCAUGCCGCACGCGCACCUGCUGCUACAAUGUCAAACCACGCUGCAAAGUCAGCUGUUGCAGAGCAGCCAUGAAGCGGGACAACCAUUGCUUCUCCAAAUUAUUGUUGCUGCUGCUAUUAAAAUGAUGAUGUUAGUGUUUGGAUAUUUGAAACCAAUUCGGUCUUGGGUUAGGGUUUGGUAGAUUGAGAUCAAUUUGAGUUAGAUUUUGGGAAAUUAAUGUUCAUUCGGUUAGCGCUUAAUAAUUUGAUGAUUUUUUUUUAUUGCAAUUUGAUGCUAAUUCGCGUAAGAGUUUUAUAAUUUAUCUCAAAAUUUUAGCUUUUAUCUUAUUGGAGGAUCAUGAUUUUCUCUUGAUCUGAUCUCCUCCUGAGCAAACAUACAUGUGGUAAUUGGUAGUUAAUAAAAUAAAAAAAAUAAAAAAGUUAAAUUCUAUCAAUACACUAUCACUUAAAGACACAUAUCACAAGAUUUUUAAAAACUCCUAAGAGCUCAUAUUAAGAGUGGAAUUUUUUUUUUCCUUAUUGGAAGGGUUAUUUGACGUUGUGACAAUGGCAAAGGGCAUUGGAAAUAGCAUUCCCCUUGGUGCGCAUUAGUAACUACUCCAGAGGUUGCAGAGGCCUUGACUCGUGGCAGUUACUUCAACGCCUUUGGUGGGAAUCCCGUAUGUACAGCUACGGGGCACGCUGUUUUGAAAGAUAAGCUUCAGCAUAAUGCCCAUGUUGUUGGAUCCUAUUUGAAAGAAAGACUCACUGCACCUAAGGAUAAAUAUGGAACUAUUGGAGAUGCGAGGGGAUGGGGAUUUAUGCUUGGAGUUGAAUUUGUCACGGAUAGCCAAUUGAGAAAGGCUGAAACUCUAGAUGUAAUGGACAAAAUGAAACGUAUAUGUGUUUUCUUCUUCUCUCAGCAAUAAUCCAGCCAUAUUGCUUUAAGAUUCUAGCUACAUAGAGACCUCUUUGUUAUAGAAAUGGGAGUAUUGAUCGGCAAAGGUGGAUUUUAUGGAAAUGUUUUCAGAAUUGCUCCUCCUCUUUGCUUCACAAAAGAAGAUGCUAGUAGGUCUUUUUAUACCCAUAUUGUUGCCUCGUAUCAUUUACUGCCCAAUGUGAAUAUAUCAUGUGUUUCUUUGGUUUCAGAUUACCUUGUAGAUGUCAUGGACUGCUCAAUGACGAAGAAGUGAAGCCUUCGAAGUAAGUGUGGAAAAAAGAGUGUAUCUGAUCAUUCACAACUUGGUCUAAAUUAAAACUGUAUUAAAAUUGUAUUACUUAAUAUCUGUUGUGAGUAAAAGUAUUAAUACACAUAGGUUACUGCUUGAAUAUCUAGCUUGUUGCUACGAUACUAAAAAGCGAUGAGUCAACAACACUCUGUCUCUCGCUCUCAAACUCUCUUGGUUUUACUUGAAUUAGCUUCUGAACAUUGUCUCUCUUGCUUCUCGCUUGUUGAACUCAUAUUUCUUUUGCAUUUGGUUGAGAAUAUCGGGAUGGAAAGUGAGCACUGUAAAAUUACCACAUGAAAGCAUCAAUGCAGAAGAUAAUAAAAAGGGCAAAAAACUCAUUCUAAUUUUUUAUUUCUAAAAUGUCUACAGACUAAAUUAUAAUAAUGGACAAAUGAAUUACUCAUUAAAACUCUCUUAUUUCCUAGCUCAAACCCAGUACAAGAUUAUCAUCAACCGAAUAUAUUCAGUUACUUUUGAAUAUUUACAAAACAUGUGUAACCACCAUGCAUCAGUUACAAAAGAAACAUUGAUGCCAAAAUAAUUAAUUCACUAUUCCAAUUUAUAUUUGAUUAAGAUACAAUUAAUUAAAAAAAGGAGAAGAAAUUUUAUCAUUUUAGAAAACAAAGUACAUAAAAUAUAUUUAUUCAGGAAAAAUAGUCUUGUAAUCAUAAGUUUAUUAAGGGUUUAUUUGGUAUCUAGAUAGGUUUGUAGAGUAAAAUAUGAAUUUUCAAAUUGUUAUGGUGGAUUUUUUAAUUAAUGAGUUUAAUAAGUAUUUUAGUGAAUUCAAAUAACCUCAUUCUUUAUUAUUUCUACUACUAUUGUAUUUUUAAAUUUCUAUUUAUAAAAUUACAUUUUCAUACCAAUGAUAAUGAUAUAAUCUGAAUUUUUUUAAGAAGAAAUAGGCAAAUUAAAUUAUGGUAAUACUUAUAAAUGAAUUGUAAAUACAAAAGGAAGCAAGGGGUCAAGUGAAAUUUAGCGUCGCAAAAGACAAAAAUAUGCGGAACUUACCACGGUGCUUGCGUUACCGAUGACAAGAAAAUUGGAUUUUCUUGUCAUUCCAAUUUCAUAUUUAGCCGAGUGUCGUGUUUUCUUAUGGUGCAACUCUGAAGUCUGAAGGUUUCAGGAUUCGGCUCUGUUUUACUUGAAUGAAACGAACGUGAAAGAGGACGGCUCUUGUUUGAUGAUUCAGCUAAAUAUGAAAUGGAUAAGAUGAAUUAGACGGACAGAUGUCACCCGACUAAAUGAGUAAGCACAAGAGAGCUGUAUUUAAAAUUUUAAUGAAUGACUCGGCAACUAAGUAAAUAACUAACUAACCAACCAACCAACUCAUUAGGGACCUGUCUAUGGUACAGAUUCUGUAACAAACAUCUCCCGUCAUCCCACCAUCCGAUUUUCUAUUGUUUAGUUUCUCACUCCACAUCCAACGGCUGAUGCUGCAGUCUGUAGCUUACAGAUUCUGUAAGCUAGUCAAGUCCACUCAUUAGUCGCUAACUUGCUGGCACCACUUGGCAAGAACAUUGAGGCGGAGCAUGCGUUGCUGAGUUUUCACAAUAUACUUCAACAAGUUAAUCUUCUUAUCGGUAUCGGACUCCUCGCCGGUCUUCGAUUUCUCCACCAGCUCUUUGAGCGACGCAAAUGAAUCCUCCGCCGCACGACUCCCCAGAGACGAAAACGGCACCGUUUGCUGCCCUAACUCCCCCAUUUUUAGGAAAUUCCCAUAAAUUUUGGCUUUUUUUUAUAUUACCUUUUAACUAAACAUUUACAAUUCACUAAUGGUGUGUUUACUUGUGGGUUUAGGGAAUGAGAAUGAAGAAAUGAGAAUUAACUUGAUAAAAUAUAUUUUGAGAAUGAAAAUAAAAUAUAUGGGUCUUACAUAAUUUAAGAAUAAAGAAUUAGAAUCUCAUUUCCACGAGGGAUUGAAAAUAAAAAUGUGAGAAUGAGAAUGAAAUAUAAAUUUAUUUUUUUAUUAUUCUAAUUUUUUUAUAUUUCCUAAAUUACCAUUGUUUAAAUCAUAAAUAAUUUUAUUAUUUUAAAUGUCAUUAAUAAUAAUUAUUAUUAUUAUUAAAUUUUAUUAUUUUAGUUAUUAACAAUCUGCNNNNNNNNNNNNNNNNNNNNNNNNNNNNNNNNNNNNNNNNNNNNNNNNNNNNNNNNNNNNNNNNNNNNNNNNNNNNNNNNNNNNNNNNNNNNNNNNNNNNNNNNNNNNNNNNNNNNNNNNNNNNNNNNNNNNNNNNNNNNNNNNNNNNNNNNNNNNNNNNNNNNNNNNNNNNNNNNNNNNNNNNNNNNNNNNNNNNNNNNNNNNNNNNNNNNNNNNNNNNNNNNNNNNNNNNNNNNNNNNNNNNNNNNNNNNNNNNNNNNNNNNNNNNNNNNNNNNNNNNNNNNNNNNNNNNNNNNNNNNNNNNNNNNNNNNNNNNNNNNNNNNNNNNNNNNNNNNNNNNNNNNNNNNNNNNNNNNNNNNNNNNNUUAAUUUAAUAAUAAUAAUAAUAAUAGGGUCAGGCUUCAGUGCAACUGUGGCAUCGUGCCAUAGUUGCACCAGCCGUUGGAUCCACUCAAAUGAGUGGGGUCCACUUAAAUAAGUGAAAAUUCAACAAUUGAGUGUAAUUAUGUCACGAUACCACAGUUGCACCACAAUUUUAUCCAUAAUAAUAAUAAUAAUAAUAAUAAUAAUAAUAAUAAUAAUAAUAAUAAUAAUAAUAAAAGUUAAUAAAUGUCAAACAAGAGCCGUCCUCUUUCACGUUCCUUUCAUUCAAGUAAAACAGAGCCGAAUCCUGAAACCUUCAGACUUCAGAGUUGCACCAAAAGAAAACACAAACAAACAAUGGAGAAAAUAGAGCAUACAACAGUGGGCACUAACGGCAUAAACAUGCACGUGGCAUCAAUAGGGACCGGCCCAGUAGUUCUCUUCAUUCACGGCUUCCCUGAACUCUGGUAUUCCUGGCGCAACCAGCUCCUCUAUCUCUCUUCCCGCGGCUACCGCGCCAUUGCCCCAGACCUUCGCGGCUACGGCGACACCGACGCCCCGCCCUCGGUCACGUCGUACACGGCACUCCACCUCGUCGGUGACCUCAUCGGCCUUCUUGAUAAAUUGGGUAUCCAUCAAGUUUUCCUAGUGGGUCAUGACUGGGGUGCUUUGAUUGCUUGGUAUUUUUGUUUGUUUAGGCCGGACAGAGUCAAGGCCUUAGUCAACAUGAGCGUCCCCUUUCCUCCCAGAAACCCGGCUGUGAGACCUCUUAAUAACUUCAGGGCUGUCUAUGGUGAUGAUUAUUAUAUCUGCAGAUUUCAGGUAUUUUUUCCUUUUUUUCUUUAACAACAUUUCUGUGCAUGUAUUAAGAAAUAACUCUUAUUGUUGCUCUAGUAAUUCCUUAAAAGUAAUGCACUUGAAUUUAGUUUCAUUGACAAUUGUGCUAUAAUUUUGCUUAAAUUCAUCUUUUUAGCCUAUGAAAUGUUUCAGUUUUAUGCAUUUGUUAAUGAUUUGCGUCAAUAAUUUUGGACAUAAUUUCACUGGAGUUACGAAGAGCAAGAGAAAUUGGGAAGAACCCAUUUUCUAGCUGUUCACUUGGUUAUUGUUUGUGAUGAUUAUUCAAUAUGUACAAUGUUUUGGGAUUGUUUACCAUUAACUAUUUGCUGUAAGCAUGGACUUGAAUAUGGUGUUUUCACACAAAAACUGGCUUUCGGGGCCAAACCCCGUAAAGAAGACACAAUGGCACUAUGUUACUGUAGGCAAGUUAUUUAGACAUAUUCUAAACUGCUGUAUGCAUUUGCUUUUCGAAGCAUGGAAAACUAUUAUCUGCUUUGCGGGUUUGUGAAAUUACAAAUUUGUACCUUACAUACUUUAGGUAGAUGGAUGCGUUCUUCUAUAUUUGUCUUUGUGAGUGUCCAAAAUAGAUGAACAAGAGUGUUAUUCCUCACAAGUCCUACAUGCCAAAUUCUCAUUAAGUGUGCUUUAGUGACAGAUAAUUGAUUAUUGAUGGAUCACCUAAAUUCUCUCUCGUCAGUCGGUACCAAGGAAUGACUUGGCAUUAUUCCUUUAUUCUCAUUAAUCUAUCCAAAACACUAAAUUAUGUCAGAAGUUUGUCAGAAAUCUUGAACCAAAUAAGCUACUGGUGGCACAUGUGAGAGAUCCCUUCCCUAUUCCAAUUAGAUAUUCCCUCAAAUAAAUCUCUCUUUCAAUCAGAUAGGCAUGGUAGUAACAAUGAAGGUGAAUUUGUUUCGUUUGACUGACGAGUGAUAUUCCUAAAGUUAAGUCCAAGAAGAUUAAACGUACAAGCAUUGCAAAAUGUGUGCCAUGGGUAUGUUUUGCAAUAUAUUGUUGAUUUCCUCCAGUCAUGAAAACAGUGGUUGUAUCCUCUUGAUCAGUGUUAAAAUUGUGAGCAAAACCAUUAUACUUGGAAGCAAUGACACUGAAGUAGAUUGUAAUUUGAUUUUGGUUCUAGAAUAGUUCCCAAAUGUUGCUCUAAUCUUCAGUAUUCGUACUCUAGAAGCAUCUAUUUAAGUGCAUCAUUCUCAAAUCUCAUGAGCUGAUUCUCGUUCAAAACAUUUCUAACUUCUGCUGUAGGAACCUGGAGAGAUUGAAGAAGAGUUUGCUCAGAUUGAUACUGCAAGACUUAUGAAGAAAUUUCUGUGUUUGCGCAUUGCAAAACCACUUUGUAUACCCAAAGAUACGGGACUCAGUACUGUACCGGAUCCUUCAGCCUUGCCCUCUUGGCUUUCAGAAGAAGAUGUCAAUUAUUAUGCCUCCAAAUUUAACCAGAAAGGCUUCACAGGACCAGUGAAUUAUUAUCGAUGUUCGGAUCUGUAUGUUCCAAAAACUUAUACCAUGGCUAUCAUAAUUAAAGAGUUAGUUAUCAAUCUUUUAUCUGGACAAAUUGGCGAUUAAUCUUUUUGACAGUAUUUUCUAGUAGUCGAUGAAUACAUUUUAUGUAGGGCCAAUCUUGCCUUUCAUCAUGUACCUUACUGUUAUUUUCUAGAAAUUUCUUAUUUCAUCUGCGUAUAAUUGGUGAUCUUUGAUCCAUGUCUGAGACUGAUAUGAAACACCGAACUCACACAUUCAUGACUACUUUCAUGGCUGGAAGUAUCAGGACAUGUUAUGGAUGUCCCAUUUUCAAAUCUUGUUUUGGUAUCUAGGUGGCACAUAAUUUUACUAAUACUAGUGUAGUUAUUGGAUACUUUAUAUGAAAACAAUAUGCUGCCUAUUGUGGAGUACGGUAUAUUUAAGUAAUUUUUCUCUUUCUUAUAGAAACUGGGAGCUGAUGGCGCCAUGGACUGGGGUACAAAUCGAAGUACCAGUCAAGUUUAUCGUGGGUGACCAGGAUCUUGUCUAUAACAACAAAGGUAUGAAGGAAUAUAUACACGAUGGUGGCUUCAAGAAAUAUGUACCAUAUUUGCAGGAAGUAGUUGUCAUGGAAGGGGUAGCUCACUUUAUCAACCAAGAAAAGGCAGAAGAAGUCGGUGCACACAUCUAUGAGUUCAUCAAGAAGUUCUGAUGUAGCUUUGUCAUUGACCAUCUCAGCAUGCCAUGCAUCUCCAUAAGAGUUAUGAUCUAAAGUUUCAUUAAUUCCACCAUACCAACAGUCUAGGCCUUGUCUACUCCAGACUAUGUAUCUUGUAUUGUUCUGUUUGUCUCUGAAUAUAUGUGUUGUAGUUGUAGGACUUGCCAUAUCUAAGACAAAGGAAGAAUAUGCCCGUUUGGACUUAAAUGAGAAUAUAUGGAAGAUGUAAAAUACCAUUAACAGAGUGUGGCUUCGGUCUAAUCAAACAUCGAAACUCAAAUGUUGGUCGUAAGUAAAUCUUUUCCUUACAGUUUUAUCUGUCGGAAUUGCUUAUCAACUUAUCCCCAAUAGAAAGACUGCAAAUUAUCUAGUAUGUUACCUUUUUCAAUAUUUUGUUACAAGAAGGAUGUCUUCUUGCAAAGGAAUGUGACUAAUGAGACUAUUAUUUAUAUUUCACCAUAUGAGACAAUUAGACAGGAAUGGGACUAAUGAGACUAUGAUUUAUAUUUCACCAUGUGAGACAAGGCUUAAUUUUCUGUUCUUGCAGAAACCGGGAGCCAAUAGCUCCAUGAACCGGGUUUUCAUAUCGAAAUACCCAAUCAUGGGGGAUCUGGAUGCUACAUUUAUCGGACCAGGUAGCUUCAAGAAAGAUGCUCCAGCUUUGCAGCAAGUUGUGCUGUCAGUUUCUCAACCAAGAAAAGCCAGACGAAACCAGUGCGCACAUCUACUACGUCAUCAGAAAUUUCUAACCGCGUUGGCCCGUCUCUCCUAUAAUUCCAAUCCCGAUCUCGCCGUUUAUGAAUUGCAUUUUCUAGUCAUAAGCCACCCUAUUAUUUUGGUUAGUCAUAUUCUCUACUAUAAAAUCACCAAGAAUCACAUUAACAGUAUUCAACAAGAAAGCUUUUAGCAUGUCAAAGCCAUAUUAGUUGUAUUAUAGUUGCGGGACUCAGGGAGGGAGGAAAAAAAGAGUAAAGGAAGAAAAACUGUAUUUUCUAGGUAUUUUUAGAUUAAGAAAUGAUUUAUAUAUUAUUCUAACCUAAAUUUUGUACUUAAAUUUUAGACUCAAAUCUUAAACCAUUGAUUUUAAACAAUCUAACGGUGGAUGAUAGUCGUGAUUAAAUACUACGUUGAAUUUCAUUGUCGACCAUUGAAUUGUUUAAAAUUUGUGGCUCAAAAUUUACGUAAAAAUUUUAAGUUAAAAAUUGAAGUAGCUCGGCCCAUAAGAAAUUAUAAUUUAUAACAAGGGCAUUUUCAAAACUAAGGCAAGUGCUAACAGUCCUAACUCCCGCAAUAAUUUAUCCUAAAAGAAACCGAAUUAGGCAAAUUGUGAGCCCCUUUCAAUUGGAAAGAGCUACUACAGAGUAUAGACCUGAAGUGAUCAGAUCAAUGCUAAUGUAAUUGCAUGUAUAGGGUUCCCAGUUCACUUCCCAGAGUCUGCUCACAUAACUUGACAUGCUUUCUGCAUAUAUAUAGCUGCUGAGAGCUGGAGUACGCCAUGAAUGAUAACGUAAUUCUUAAUAUUUUUAUAUUGAUUGAUGGAUCUACUACUGAGAAGAAAUAUAGCUAAAAACAAACUAUCGUACCAUGCACAUGCAUUUAUUGAUGUUAAUCUAAUUGCAUAUAUUGUAGUCAGUGGUCACAAACUAAUGGUGCUGCGUCGUUGCUCUUUCUUUUUCAUCUUUCCAUAAAAGGAAUUUGGCUAAAAAUAACAGAAGAAAACAAUAACAAAUUAAAUAAAAGUUCGUACAUAUCAUAGCUGUAUUCUAGACAAGGAAAAUAACCAAGCUACCUACUCUAGCAGUCUCAUUGCAAGUUACAACAGCUGCGCCAUGGCUCUCUUGAACACAGUGUGUCCUGAUCCUAGCAAUCAAGCAUGCAUGAAUGUAUACAAUCACUCAGUCUGAAAUUAAUCCGAUCACAUGCAUUUUCUAAUCGGUUCGGCUAAUAUAAUAUUUAGUUAGGGUCAGAAUCUAUUAGAUUGGGGGUGGUAUAUGGGCAAAAACUGCAAAUUGUACUUGUUUUGGUUCCUGAAUACAUAAAUGGGAAGCCGGGAAGGGCCAUCACUGCUCAAUUGACUGACGGGAGCUGCUACCUUACGAGUGGGGUUCACGGGUCGGUUGUGUGAGGGGCUGUACCUUGCGUCUUACGUUAAACCUAAGGUGGCAAAAUCCUUGAGUUAAUUGUGGCGGAAUCAGUUCCCGACAAGACAUCACAUGGGCACAUCCGCACAUGUACUAGAAGCCCAAGUCAUAAUUUACUGGACCAUGAAAGAUGGUGGGUGGACCUUAAUUCAACAAAAGAUAAAAAGAAAUGUCCUUUUCGGUGUGCGGUGUGGGGGAGUGUCAUUAUUGUUUAAUUACCCUAACAAUUAUAAAAUAUCAAAUUAGUACAAGAAAUGUUAUUAUUUAUCAUCUUAUUAUUAUAUUUUAUAAAAUCUGUUAUUUUAUUAUGUUUUCCUUAGUGUCUUUAAUUGACCAAUUAAUUGACUAAUAUUUCAAUACUGUAGUGCUUUGCUUUUUUUGGACAAAAAUUUUCAUUAAAAGGUAAAAUUAUUAUUUUAUUAGUUAAUUAACUAGUCAACUAAUAGUGCUAACAAAAAUGUAGUAAAAUGAUCGGUUUUGUAAAAAUAAAUUUGUAAAACAAUAGAUUACAAUAUUUUUUCUUGUCAUUUGAUAUAUUGCAUUCUUUUAAUAAAAAAUAAUUAUAAAAAGUUCAAAUAAUUUUUAAAAUUUUCAAAUAAAGAAGAAUUUUAGAAAUUUAAUUAAUUAAAUCUAUCUUAAUUUUUUUGUAACUUAGAUAUUUAAUUAUAUUUGACUACUACGAUUGCUUUAACCUAAGUUGAAAUUGGUUAUUUUACCCUUAUAAUAUAAAAGUGCCAAUAAUUUACUUUUAACGUUAAUAGUACUUUUUUAUUUUUUAUACAAAGCUCAUUAUUUCUAAAUAAUGUGUCAAUACUAUUAGUAUGAUCAUCAAUCUUUAAUUAAAAAAUAUAACGACUUAUGGUGUAAUACUCAUGUAAAUUAUUGAAUUGUCAAAUUUAUAUAAUUUACAUAUAGGAUAUUAUAAUUUUUUAUAUUUUAUUUUAAAAUGUUUAAUUAUAGGUCACAAAAUUAAGUACCUAAAUUGUUAGAUACAAAAAUAUAUAUUUAUUGGGGCAAUUUUUCAUAUUAUUUACGAGGGUAAAAUAGUGGAAUAAAACUUAUAUUAAAGCAAGUUGUAUAGUCAAAGAAAUGUAAAUGAAAAAAUUUCAGUAUUAAUUUAUAUUUAUUAAAAAUAAUAUAAACUUGCAGUAAAUAUUUUUUAGAAGUGGGGUGGGUUUACACAGGUAGUGCGGUGAAAAUAUCCCCACACUUGCUAAAAUAGUGAAACAAUAAUGUUUUUUUGUGUUAAUUUUUUAUACUAUUUUCUUUACAAAUAUUGUUAUUGCAUAAAUAAAUAAAUAAAUAAAAAGAAAACAAAUCAGGUAUCCACAUUGAUAAUUUGAUAAUUUCCUUGACACUACAUUCAAUCAAUUCAUAGCCAAUUACAAGGGUUGGGAUAUUUCUAUCCCACUACUUAUGUAAAUCCAUCCCAAUUUAAAAAUAUAAAUGUCAUAAGUUUACAUUAUUUUUAAAAUAUACAAAUCAACAAAAAAAAUUAUAAUAAUUAAUCAAUUAAAUCCUUCUUAUUCAUUUUUUUUUGUUUUACAUAGGUAUCUUUACUUAUUAUUAUUGCUUUAAGAUAAGUUUUAUCUGACUAGUUUAUCAUAGCAAUAUAAAAUAAUCAAAUUACUUUAGAAAAAGCAUAUGUUAUUAUUUCUAAUAAAUAGAUAUCUAAUUUUAUUUGAUCAAAUAUCUAAGUUUCUUCCUUUAUUUAUAAUUUUAAAGAAUAACAUAGAAUUAUUAUAAUAAUUUUUUUUUUUUCAAAGUGAGGUCGGUUUGUUGGUGAAAAUAUCACCUCCCCAAGUAUAUAAGAGGAAGCAGAGCAAGGCUUGUCGGCGUCCAAAUCCUUUAAUCAAAAACUUACAAUUUCAACCCCACCCCUUUAUUCUAUUAAUAUAUUUACAAUUGCAAUUACUUAAUUCGUUUUCAGAUUUCAGAAUACUUAGCUUGUAUAUGUCAUUUCAGUCUAAUUAAAUACUCCCAAAAAAAGGAAAAAGCCUUUUUCAACAAAUUAGUUAUUUGGCUGCCUAUUUUUAGCAUGCAAACAUCUUGUAACAUUUAGGUCAUAUUUAAAAUUGAGGUGGUGUAACUUUUAAAUUAUAAUUGAUGUAGAAAAAAAAUUGUAAUUAUGAAGCAAAAGUUAAUACUAUAUAAUAAAUAUACAUUUUAAAUAAUAAUUUUGAUAAAAUUAUUAAAGAUAUAAUAUAUUUUUCAUUAUACAAGUAAAAAAUCACAUCAACAUAACUUCUAAGAUACAGCAGUUUGUGUUUACCAAACACCUUAGUCUGUCUAACCUCAAUCUCAAAUAAACUCUUAGUACUACGAAUUUGGAACCUGAAAAUCAUGAACACCAAAAGGACAUUUGGGUGUGGAAAGUCGUUAAAUGAACUCAUUUAUGCAUUUGAUAGCAAAAUUUCCUUAGUUAAUAUUUAGUGCUGAAUAUCAAUGUGCAUUGAAGUGACUAUUCUUAAAUCAAAUUAACAAUUAAUAAUUAAGUGUUUAUGAGCUUAAGAUACCGUUAAAAUUGAAACUUCUAUAAAUAUAGGUAGAUCCAUCAAGGCUCAUGAAGUGCUUCAGCUCUUUUUAUGCCAUUGUUUUUUCAUGUAAGUAUGCUUAAGCCCCUUCUGAAAGCGUCAAAUAAAAAUUUUGACCCCAUUUUCUACAAAACAAAAUUUUUAUAGUUCAAUCAUAAGAAUUCUAUUUAGUGGUUUUUGAAACAUGGUAGUCCAAUUUAAAAUAAAUAAAUUAUGUUGUUAUUUUUUAAUUUUAAAUAUAUUCAAAUGAACAAUUAAAAAAAUUUCUCAAAUUGAAAUAAAAUUUUUGGAACUAAGCCCGCGCCGCCUCUCACCUCCUCCCCCCAAUUUAAGUAUAUGGGUUCGCCACUGUCUGUAAAUUAAUAAUUUCAUAACCAUACAAAACCUAUUAAUUUAAAGAUGUAUUAAUUAAUCAAUAAAUUAAUAAAUUAAUAAUUUAUAGAUUGUAUAUACAAUUCAUUGAAGGUACAUUAUAAUAAACUAAAAUUCAUUGUAUUUUACCAACCUAAUAAAUUAAAAAUGAAUUAAUCCACUAAAUACAAAUCAAAUUAAUAAAAAGAUAAAGUUCUUGCAAUUUUAGAAUUCAAUUCCAAAGCUUCUAUAAGCAUUAAUUGAAACUAGAUAUGAGAUCCAACUAUAUUUAAAGAAAAAACAAGUAAUAAUAGAGUUACAUUUUAUUUAAUAUAAUAAAAUAAUAAUAUUUAUAAUUUCAGUAAAUUAUUAAUUUAUAAUAUGAAUGAGACCACUAAGUUGUGUAAGAGUUUAAAAAAAAUAUCAUCUUACUAAUUUAUUAAAGCUAUUAACUUAAUUCUUCAGCCCAAGUCAAUAAAACAAAAAAACUAUUAUGUAAUAGAGGUUGUUAAUUUAGUGGGUAUUAAAUGAUAGAUGUUUUACUGUGAAGGAAAACACUAAGGUAGCGUUUACUUUUUAGAUUGGAUUGGGAAUCCUGAGGAGUGGGAAUCCUAGGAUUGGGAGUGUGGAGUGGGAGUGGGAGUAGGUUGUUUACUUACACUNNNNNNNNNNNNNNNNNNNNNNNNNNNNNNNNNNNNNNNNNNNNNNNNNNNNNNNNNNNNNNNNNNNNNNNNNNNNNNNNNNNNNNNNNNNNNNNNNNNNNNNNNNNNNNNNNNNNNNNNNNNNNNNNNNNNNNNNNNNNNNNNNNNNNNNNNNNNNNNNNNNNNNNNNNNNNNNNNNNNNNNNNNNNNNNNNNNNNNNNNNNNNNNNNNNNNNNNNNNNNNNNNNNNNNNNNNNNNNNNNNNNNNNNNNNNNNNNNNNNNNNNNNNNNNNNNNNNNNNNNNNNNNNNNNNNNNNNNNNNNNNNNNNNNNNNNNNNNNNNNNNNNNNNNNNNNNNNNNNNNNNNNNNNNNNNNNNNNNNNNNNNNNNNNNNNNNNNNNNNNNNNNNNNNNNNNNNNNNNNNNNNNNNNNNNNNNNNNNNNNNNNNNNNNNNNNNNNNNNNNNNNNNNNNNNNNNNNNNNNNNNNNNNNNNNNNNNNNNNNNNNNNNNNNNNNNNNNNNNNNNNNNNNNNNNNNNNNNAUUUAUUUUAGACUAUUGUACUGCUGUACGGCCAAGGCGGAUGUACGGUACAGCAGUUAUAAUCAAUGCAAAUUAUUAUUUAGUUAAAUAUAAUAUUAUUAUUCAAAUAAAUAUAAUAAUAUUAUUCAAAUAAAUAUAAUAAUAUUUAUUUUAUUUUAUUAAUUAUAAAAUAUUAAAUUAAAUUAAAUUAAAAAAAAUAAAAGGGUAAAAAAGGGAGAGGUGGGAGUGGAUUCCCACUCCCACUCCCCAGUCCAAAAAUGGGUGGGGCCCACGGAGUGGGAUUCCCACUCCCUUCCCAUUUAGAGGAAGUAAACGCUGGAGUGGGAGGAAUCCACACUCCUCACUCCCACUCCAGCAAGUAAACACAACAUAAAUAACAUGGUCAGAAAUUGAGAGGUUUGUGUCCAAAUAAUGGGAAAAGGACAUUCAACCCCUCAACAUUUAAGAAAAGGGAUAAAAAACCCCUCAACAUUUUAAAAAGGACUUAUAACUCCCUUUUCGUUAAUAAACUUUAUUAUUUUCUGCAGGAAUGGGCACACCAGAAGAAUUUUAUUAGCAACGGUCUUAAUUGUACGCAACCUCCGCAAGGUUCGAAAGGAAGUGUAAAAUGACAACGCAGAUAUUUAUGCCCUUGCUGAUCUGUGAGCAGAUAUGGAAGAAAUGAAUUGUCCUCAUAUGUAAUUUGCUCGGUGGACGUGGUUUAACAUAUCCACAUAUAAAGAUAUAUGCGCUCGAUCGUUGACAGUUAAUUUACAAAUAUUUUAAAGCAAUUAAUUAAAAUAUUCAAAAUAUAUUGAAAUAAUUUUAAAAAUAUAUUAGAGAUAAUAUAAUUAAUUAAUGUGUGUGUACAUAUAUAAAAAAUUUAUAUAAUCAUUACUUAUUAAUUUUUUAAAAUAAAAAAAUAUAUAUAUAAUAUAAUAUUAUUUACUUUUUUAUUAGGGUUAAUUUUGUCCUGCCUCCAACUAUUUUAACAUUUUUCGCCACGCAUCCAUAUGUUUCGAAAAUCCUCACUCCACACUCAAUUUCGUUAAUUUGACCGUUAUGUUUAAUGGAGCUAUUUGAAAUUUAAGUAAAUGUCCGAAAUACCCCUUAUCUUGAAUUAGAGAAAAUAAAAUGAGAUAAAAUGUUAAUUUAAUAAUUAAUGUUUACAUUAAAAAAUUUUAUUUAAAGGUAAUUAAUAAUAAUUUCAUUAAUUAAAUUAUCAAAUAAAUUUAAUUUAUCAUCAUCAAAUAAUAUUUAGGAUAUGAAUUUUUAAAUUUACCCUUUGACCGUUAGAAUAAACGGUCAAAUUAACGGAAUUAGGUGUGGAGUGAAUAUUUUCAAAAUAUAUGGGUGCGUGACGAAAAAUAUUGAAACAGUCGGAUGCAGGAUAAAAUUAACCCUUUUUAUUACAGUAACUCAAAAUUAUUCUAAAAAUUCCCCUGCAGCGCAGAUGCAAAUAAAGUUGCUUUUGAUGCUGUCCUUAUGAGUUCCAAAUACAAGACGUACCAGGUCACUACUAUUCUUCUCUGCUUACUUACAUCUCACUCCUCAGUUUUACUCUCUCCCUCAGAGCUGAACUGAACCACCAAAAAAAAAAAAAAAAAAAUGUAUAGUCCCACUCCCAGUCCCAGGCGAGGAACCAGACUCUUACUUGCUCUCUUACCCAGUUCAGCUAUUUUCUUGCUACUAUUUGUACUAUCAGCUGUAAGUGUAACCACCCUAAAAAAGAACCCCAAAACAACAGAUGCCCCACACUUGCGAGUCCAUAAACAUUUCCAGGUUGCUCAUUCCGCAUGCGAAGGCACACUCUAUCCUGAACUCUGCGUUUCGACUCUGCUUUCAGUCCCAGAUCUCGCUUCAAAAAGAGUCCCUGAACUCAUCUCCGUAACCAUAAACCGCACAUUGUCCGAGCUGAGAGCCUCCUCCUCAAACUGCUCCAGCAUUGGACAGAGUUACCCAAAUUUUAACACCCUUGAAAAGAGAGCAAUCAAUGACUGUCUCGAGCUGUUUCAUGACACCAUUGUUGAGCUCAAAUCAGCUCUCAAUGAUCUCUCCCCCAAGAAAUUGCCCUCCAAGCAUUACCAUGAUUUGCAAACUUUGUUCAGCGGUGCAAUGACAAACCAGUACACGUGUCUUGAUGGGUUCGCUUACAGUGACGGAAACGUGAGGGACGUUAUUAAGAGCAGCUUGUACAACAUUUCCAGGCACGUGAGCAACUCUUUGGUUAUGCUCAAGAAAAUCCCCGGUGAUAACAUGUCUUCCAAGUACGAGGUUUUUCCUGAGUAUGGGCGUAUUAAGAGAGGAUUCCCAACUUGGUUGUCUUUAAAUGAUCGCAAAUUGUUACAGAAGUCCGUUAAUUUGACCAAAUUUGAUCUGAUAGUGGCUAAAGAUGGCUCUGGGAAUUUCACUACCAUUACUGAAGCAGUGGAAGCAGCUCCAAACAAAUCCAAUACUCGGUGGGUUGGAUUGGAUAUUUUCUCGUAUUAUACAAAAUGGAAAUUAUAUCAAUACAUAACAAAAUUUAAUUGCUUUGACAGGUUUGUGAUUUACAUAAAAGCUGGGGCUUAUUUUGAGAACGUGGAGGUGGAUAAAAAGAAGACAAUGUUGAUGUUCGUAGGAGAUGGGAUCGGCAAAACAGUAGUGAAGGCCAAUAGAAGCGUCGUUGAUGGAUGGACUACUUUCCGGUCAGCCACUGUAGGUGAGUUUCAAAAUUUACUUGAAUCUUUUUGUUGGAAAUUCUGAAUUUCUUUCUUUCUUUUCUUUUUGAAUUGAUGUGGACCGAUCGAUGUGCGACAGCGAUCGUAUAUAUUGGUCCAAAUGAUAAAGUGGGGGCGGGACCAUCGAUGAUGUUGGUCUCCCAUCACGGGUUGGUGGGUUACUGACCGUGAGCAUCUUUGCUUGCAGUGAGAUACGUAGGAAGAGUUAUUAAUAAUUAAUAACUUGUAGAUAAAUUAUUUAUCACAAUUGUGAAUCCCAUAAGUGGUGGAUUCAAGUAUUUUUAAGCCACUUAAAUUCAGAUAAUUAAGAUUCUGUCUCCCAAAAGUAAUCAAUAUAUAAACGGUCGUCGGUAGUGGGUUGUGGGCCGUGGAUAGGGGCUCACCAGUCACCAAGCAUGGUUCGUUUCUGAUGCUACGAUUUUGGCAUGUUAUGCUGAGUGAAUUCCAAAACCAGAUGGGUUCAAGUAGGAUCCACAGCUAAAUUUAUGAGGGAUGUAUCUUAUAUUAGCUCAAUAUAUGAGGGAUGUAUCUUACAUUAAUAAUGCAAGGUAGAGAAAUCCUUAAGAUGAAGGCAUUUGCAGUUUUGAGAUGUGGCCGUAAUGAGAUUCGCUUACGAGUGUCGGUAGCAGAGGGACCGCAUCACCUGGUAGCCGUGUUUCUUGGAUCAUUGAAGCGCGUAAUUAAACGACUUUGUCCCAAAAAGAAUCUGUCUUUUCCUUCUUUCUUUUUGGUACUUUUCUGAUUAUCUUUUUGCUUUGCUUAUUCUAAACUUGUCAAGAUCUUGGAUUAGAAGUUGUCAAGAAUUUCAAAUCACAUAAAUCCGGGUGGGUCUUCCUCGUUUAAUUCUUUCCUCAUCUUGGAUAAAUUUAAAUAUACUCUUUUUGGGAAUCUUUUAAUGAAUAAACCAAACGAAUGAAAUGGACUAAGAAUGAUUUUGGUAUAAAAUGAACAUCUCGGGACAUUAUUUAACAAUAUGAUUUUCUCUCUACAAUUUACGUGCCUGACCCAGUUUGUACUUUCUCUUGUCUUAACAAAUCUCAUAAUAUGAUAUAAAAUGCUGGCCUCAUUUCUGUAGUUUGUCCACUGAGAGCUUGAUGCUCAAAUUCUGACAAACUGUCACGCUGGCGUGUGGGUCAGGGUGACGAUAUAAGCAAAUUUUUGUUGGGCUGGACUUGGCCCACGCGGCCCGUUGUGACCAUUAUUAUAACGUGAUUUGUUCUGGGUGCUUCUUGUUGUUUUCAGCUGUCGUGGGGACCGGGUUUAUCGCCAAAGGCAUUACAGUUGAGAACUCAGCUGGUCCAAGCAAACACCAAGCAGUAGCCUUAAGGAGUGGCUCAGAUCUCUCAGCUUUCUACAAAUGCAGCUUCGUUGGGUACCAAGACACUCUAUAUGUUCAUUCCCUCAGACAAUUUUAUCGUGAAUGCGACGUAUAUGGCACAGUUGAUUUCAUCUUUGGCAAUGCAGCUGUGGUGUUCCAAAUCUGCAACUUAUAUGCCCGUAAGCCAAAUGCAAACCAAAAAAAUAUUAUCACUGCACAGGGGAGAGAAGACCCUAAUCAAAAUACAGGGAUAUCAAUCUUGAAUUGCAAAGUUGCUGCUGCUUCGGACUUGAUUCCAUAUCAAACAGAGUUUAAAACAUACCUUGGUCGUCCUUGGAAAGAAUAUUCGAGGACGGUUUUUAUGCUAUCUUAUUUGGGCGAUUUGAUAGCGCCGGCUGGAUGGUUAGAAUGGAAUGGUACAUUUGCAUUGAGUACACUCUUUUAUGGGGAGUACAAGAACAGGGGCCCUGGUUCUAACACGAGUGCCAGAGUGACGUGGCCUGGUUACAGGGUGAUCAAUAACUCGGCUGUGGCAGCUCAAUUUACGGCCGGGCCAUUCUUGCAAGGAAGUGAAUGGCUAAAUUCUACUGGCAUUCCUUUCUAUCUCAAUUUGACUCCUUGAGGGUGAACUUUUUAGUGCCUAUUGUCUGCCGUAGUGCUGAAGGCUCGAGCACUAGCAUUGGAAUGGAAUGAAUUACAAUUAUCCCUUUAGAAAAUUUAUUAUUACUUAUCUAAUAGAAUAAUGGUGUGUUUACUUGUGAGUUUGGAGAAUGGUAAUAAAAUCUAUAUUUAUUUGGCAAAAUGUAAUUUGAUAAUGGAAAUAAAAUGUGUGUAUUCUACAUAAUUUCGGAAUAAGGAAUGGGAAUUCCAUUCUCACGAGAGGGGUUGGGAAUGGAAAUGAAACAUAAAUUUACUUUUCUAUCCUUCUAAUUUUUUCAUAUUUCCUAAAUUACCUUUGUUCAAAUCACAAAUAAUUUAUUAUUUUAAAUGUCAUUAAUAAUAAUAAUAAUUAUUAUUAUUAAAUUUUAUUAACUUUAUUAUUUUAGUUAUUAAUUAUUAUUAUUAUUAUUAUUAUUUUCAUUAAUAUUAUCAUUAUUAACAAUAUUAUCCUUAUUGUUGUUGUUGUUCUUAUUAUUAUUAUUAUUAUUAUUAUUAUUAUUAUUAAAUUUUAUUAAGUUUAUUAUUUAGUUAUUAUUAAUUAUUGUUAUUAUUAUUUUUAUUAAUAUUAUCAUUAUUAACAUUUAUCAUUAUUAUUAAUAAUAAAAAUAAUAAAAAUAAUUAAUAAUAACUAAAAUAAUAAAGUUAAUAAAAUUUAAUUUUAAUAAUAAUAAUAAAUGUUAAUAAUGAUAAUAUUAAAAAUAAUUAAUAAUAACUAAAAUAAUAAAGUUAAUAAUAAUAAUAAUAAAUGUUAAUAAUGAUAAUAUUAAUAAAAAUAAUAUUAACAAUAAUUAAUAGUUACUAAAAUAAUAAAGUUGAUAAUAAUAAUAAUAAUAAUAAUAAUAAUAAUAAUAAUAAUAAUAAUAAUAAAUGUUAAUAAUGAUAAUAUUAAUAAAAAUAAUAUAACAGUAAUUAAUAAUAACUAAAAUAAUAAAGUUAAUGAAAUUUAAUUAUAAUAAUAAAUGUUAAUAAUGAUAAUAUUAAUAAAAAUAAUAAUAACAAUAAUUUAUAAUAACUAAAAUAAUAAAGUUAAUAAAAUUUAAUAAUAAUAAAUCAAGAAAUCUUUCUUGAUCCUCAGUUGGUUGUUUUAAAGAAAUUAAAAGAAAACCCCAGUCCUACUAUCAAAGCAUUUUAGAAAUCACUGAUUCAGUUAAGUUCAAACAUUUCUUUCUCAGUGAAUCACAUUCAGAACCAGCCUAUUCCACGGCUACUAUUUUAAAAGUUUUGAGCCCAAACCAAUGGAUUAUUAGCCCUUAGGAAAAAACUUUGAAAUUGCUUGGAAAUGAUCAGCAUGGUAUCUUUUAAGGGAUCCAUCCCAGUUGAAUUAAUUUUUAAAAUUUCUUACAAAGCCAUGAUUUCUGCAUUUAGCACACAGCAUAAAUACCAGUCGAAAAGAGAUGAGACCCUUCUCUUGCAGACUGAUUUGUCCAAAGGAAACACGGUCAUUCCUAAACCAAUCCAAUGGAAAGAUGUAAAUCUUCCAGAGGAAUGGAUCCUUGAAGGUGCCGCUCCACCAGCGAUUCCGAAACAACUUAAGCCCAAUACAGAGUUGCAAAAUGUGACUCAGUAUUCCGAUGGUAAAGUCAAACUGUCAUUCAGGAGAUCUACCUCAUCCAGAUUUUCUGAUAAAGCGUCGUGCUCAAGCAUUCCUUCAUUAGAAAGGAAAUUUACAAAAAUACCCUCUGUUAUAAAUCUCCCUUUUCAGUCCAUAAAAAGUCAACCUACAUAAAAAGUCAUUUUCUACUUCAGAUAUACCUAGUACCUCCAUUCGUUCAGUUGAUUAUACCACUAGUGUUCCUCAUCCAAUCUACACUAGUAGUCAACAUUUACAAAGUCAGGAAGAGAAGGAACCUUCUCCUCCAACUUCUCCUACAUUUUUUGCUGUUAUGGAAAAUGUUAUUAAUGUCAUUGAAAAAGACUUUGAAUUGGAUAAAACAUUUCUUCAUAAUGAUUUUUAUUCUGAUUUAAACAAAGAAAAAAGAAUUUGGUUCUUCAAACAUUUUUUAAAUCAAAGAAAAGAAAUCCAACAAACUUAUUAUGAAUUUGUGAAUUUUCAUAAAAUUCAUAUAUGAACAACAUCUCUUAUCCCUUCAAAGAGUCAAACCCUAUUACUAUUAGAAAGAAAAUCACUGAAUGGAAUCUUACUGAUAGUAAUAGAUCCAUCGAGUUUGAACAUCCACCUCUUAGGAGUAUAGCCGUAAAUCAUGGUGAACCUCCUAUCGAGAUUAGAGCAUCACCUUACAAAAUCCCAAAACCAAAUGAUACAGAUGCAAAUUUAAGUAGUAUUAUCCAACAGAAUAAUUUCUGUAAUACUGACUUAAAUACAAUCGGAAAGCAGUUGACUAUGAUAGAAAACCAAAUCCAGAAGUCAACCAUUAUUGUUCCAUCAAUUUCUCCUAUUCCAACAAAAUCGGAUUCUGACAAAAAGCUUAAGAAACCUAUUUUCAAACCCUUUCAGGUUUCGAAAACUAGCCAAAAGCUUGUUCAAGAGUCAAAAUCAGAUUUUGCUAAAGCCAUUAGAGAACAAUUAGAACAAUAGAUAAUAGACCAAGUGCAUUAAAUCAAUCCCAAUAUAAUGCAUCUUCAGUCUAUGAGUGGAAUAUUGACGGCAUAUGUUUACUUUUGUAUUCCUCUAAUUUUUUCAUAUUUUCUAAAUUACCCUCAUUCAAAUCACAAUUAAUUUUAUUAUUUUAAUUUAUCAAAAAUUUAUUAUUAUUUUAAAUGUCAUUAAUGAUAAUUAAUAAUAUUAUCAAAUUUUAUUAACUUUAUUAUUUUAGUUAUUAUUAAUUAUUGUUAAUAUUAUUUUAUUAUUAAUAAUAAUAAUAAUAAUAAUAAUAAUAAUAAUAAUAAUCAUCAUCAUCAUCAUCAUAAGAACAACAACAACAACAAGAAAAACAAUAAUGAUAAUAUUGUUAAUAAUGAUAAAUUAAUUAUUUUUAUUAAUUAUUAAUACUAUGAGUAUUUUGGUAAAUUGAUUCACAUUCUCAUUUCCCAUUCUCAUUUAUUUUUGCCAAGUAAACAUUGAAAUCUCAUUCAUAUUCCAGCUCAUUCACAUUCCACCUCAUUUCCAUUCCCAUAAAGUAAACGCACUAUAAAAGUUAUAUUUUAUAAAGAUUUCAUUGUUUUGUGCCCCGAUCAAAGUUCAAUUUCUCUACAAGGUGUAAGUUGUGCAAAGUGUUAGGCUCAAGCUACUUGCACUCUGAAAAUUAUUCUCUAACAUUUUAUUAUUGCAUACACUGAUCUAAUAAAUUAAAAAAUAAAUUUUAUUUUAUAUACUUUUAAAAUACAAAAAAAUAAAGAAAAUAAAACCUUUACUUAAACCAAUUAAAUUAAUUAUCCUUAUUUACUCAAAAUACAAAUAAAAAUGUUUAGCGCACCCAAAUAAAGUUUUUAAGAAAUCUAAUAUAUGCUUAUAAUACUGAAAACAAUUUAAGUCUGAAAAAAAAAUCUUAAUACAAUUUGAGUAAUUAAUUAUGGUUUAUUGAAGAAUGUGUUCAAUAUUGUUUUUGCUCCCCAAAGAAGAUGUUCAAUAUGGUUUGCAGUGCAAUCGAGAAAGGAGAAGAAGUUUGGGGUUUACAUACAUUUAAUUUUUAAUUUCUUUGAAAAUCAAUAGCAAAAAAGAUGGCCAUCUUAACGGUCUUUUUAUUUAAAAAAAAAAUUGAGAGGGUCAUUAAGCACUUUAAUUUAAUAAAAUAAUAUAUUACAAAUAGCUCAACCUAAAAUAUUAAUGGUUUCUUCCCAAUUUAUUUCACCAGAAUCACCACCGAACUGUUAUAAUUUAUCUUAGAUGGCUAUGCAACACAUCUGUAAAUAGAUUUUGAUAUUUGAAUUUUCAUUUGAGUUGGACCGGCUGGCCUAUGCUUUUACAUUAAAACCUAAACCAAUCUCAACAAAAUUAUUAGACACGACCCAAUAUGCCUAAGGUCCACAAAAAUAAAUGAAUUCAUUAAAAUAUUCAAUAAAUUCACUUUUUAGUGAAAAAAAAUUACUACCAAAAUAUUCCAAAUGUAAACUACAAUUUUAGACAAGAUAAUAGGGUUAAAUAAAGUUUUAAAAGAUUAUUCCUCGCAAUCUACCAUAUUGAUCUCUUUUACAUUGUUUUCUUGUUUUGUUCGACGGGCAUUCAAAUAAUUACGAUAUAAAUUCAGUAAUCUACGAAAUGUUCUUUUGUCAAGCAAAGUCUUGGAGGAACAAAAGUCAUUUUUUUCCCCCCUUUUUUUCUCACGUGCUCCUCUUUAAUGCAACAAAGACCGAAGGAAGUUGGAUUUGGCUUAAAAUUUGUACUUGGGAAAUAUCCUCUUGGAUUUGGCUAAUAGGCUCUCUUCAUAGCAUAGUUUUUUUGGGAUUUAAGUGGUACAUUCUCUCUUUCUAAAUUAAGAUUUCUGCAUAUUGAAAAUAAAGAAAAGGAUUCUAUGAGAAUCUGCAAAUAAAUGGUGAGGAGAGAACUUUUGCCUACUCAAUGGGAUUUUCAUAAUUUUGAGUUUAUGAGUUAUGACAGUACAUGUUACAUCCUAUAAAAAAAAAAAAAAAAAACCAUAGAGGAAAAAAGAUUGAAUUAGAGAGUCAACCUUGCAUAUAUGUAAUGGUGAAAAUCUAAAAAAUAAUUGGUGAGAUAAAAAUUUGGGGGUAAUCAGGCAUAUUUUUUGCAAGGUUACUUUUGCAACUGAUUUCAUAAUUAAUUGAGUUCAUACUCAUUGGAUUCGUUAGUAUUUCUUAGAUUUUUAAGGUUUUCUUUUAGUUUAUCCAGUAUCAUUUAUCUGGAUGAAUAAGAGAUUCCUUAUAUUAGAAAAUAGUUUUUUUUUUUUUUUUGAUAGUUUGCUAUUGACUCCUGUUCUUUGGUAUAUUGUGAUGUUUUCUUAUAUUUUUCUUCCAUUUAAAGGUUUUAAUUUAUGUGCCUCUCCAUAUUUCUUUGCCUUUUGAUGAUCUAAAUUAGAGGUAGGCGUUCCAUCUAACCCCCACCAUCAUGUUGGUCCUUGAGGAAGAAAAAAUGUAUAUCUUAGGGUUGAAGAAGCAAAAAAUAAUAAUAAUAAUAAUUGCAUAAAUUAUGAUAAUUUUGUUUGAUAAAAGUUUAAUAGGUAUUAAGAUGGAUUUACAUAAUAAAAUUAAAAUUUUAAAUUUUGAUGAUGGGUUUGUUAAACAAAUGAAUUUAGUGAAUGUUUUAGUGGGUUAAAACAUACUCAGUCUUCAGAUUAUCUUAUUAGCCUCAUUUUUCAAUAAAUCUAUUUAUUUUGUAAAUUUUAAAAAAUAAAAAACCUGAUUUGUUUUUAAAUUUUUAUCUUUUCUUCCUCAUUUACUGUCGUUGUUCCCACUCACCGCCCAAAUUUUCAAAACGGAUCAGCCUGAAUAAUUUUGCGUUUACUUCUGGUUCCGGUAAAAUUUGCCAAAGAUAUUGCUUUUGACUUUAGGGCAGUAUAUCUGCUUCCAACGGAGUUUCUUUUGAAUCUGAACAGUUGAAUUUCUAAUGUUGCGGAGGUAUGUUAUGGUGCUUGAAAAUGGCUUGUGUUUUCUCUAUUCUUAUGAAUGAUUUGUCUGGAAUUGGCAUUGUUACGUGUAUCUAAGUUCAUCAUGUUUCUGAUCCAAUAGUAUAAAAGUUCGGAGCAGAUGAGAUAUUGAGACUUGAGAGAGAAAGAGAGGCCGAUGACAGAUAGAAGAGCAAUUUUUUAAAUAUUAUUUUUACUUUAUUUUCAUAAGGAUAAUUUUAAAUAUAAAUGAGAUUAUGUGAAAGGUGGGGUUGAGAUUAAUAAGAUAAUUUGAGGCACUACUUGACCAUUUAAUUAUGUUUUUGUUGCGAUAAACCGUUCAUAAAAAGGAAAGAGUCGCCUGAAUCAUCUUUUUUCCUCUCUCUCUUUGUUCUCAUUUAAAAUAAUCGCCACCCAAUUUAUUCACUAAUAAUAAUAAAUAAAUAAAUAACCUCACCCAAUAAUAUGUGCGUUUGAAAUUGAGGUACUGUACCUUUUAAGAUAUAGUUGCUGUAGAAAAAAAACUAUAACUAUAAAAUAAAAUUAAUAAUAUAUAGUAAACGUAAAUUUUAAAUAAUAAUUUUGAUAAAAUUAUUAAAAAUAUAAUAAAUUUUUCAUUAUACAAAUAAAAACUCAUAUCAAUAUAAUUUCUAAACUAAAAUAAUUAAUAUUUAUCAAAUAUUUUAAUAUUGUAUCUUUUAAAAUAAAGCUAUUCAUCUUCAAUCCCAAACACUUUCAAUAUUUUGUGAAUAAACAUUGUGCAAGAGUGGUAGAUCUGUCUUAAUCGCAACUAGGGGUAGAGGGUAUGGUCCCGGGGCAUACAUAUGAUAUGAUGAUACGCGUAGGCCAUAGUCCACGAAGAGUAAUAGUCAUUCCUGCAAGAACCGGAAAUCACGGGAUGUGAGGCUAGAAAUAAUAAUAAUGAUAAUGUAAGCAGAUUUCAGACUUCAGAGAAGGGGGAAAAAGAAAAAAAAAUAAAAAAAGGUCGUAAUGAUGAAACUGACGGCUAACAGUUACCUUUCCCGCACCAUGUUUCGGAUACACAAACACUUUCUAAAGUCAAACUUUCAUUUUGAAACUAUACAAUUGUUUUUUCUUUUUCCCUUUUUAAGGGUUGUAUAUCUAGGUUCCAGGCAUAGUAAUAAAAUUUGGAUCCAGCCCCCAUCCGUAAGGAUUCAGAAGAUAUGGAUUUGAAAAAUAAAAAUUUGUACGGAUCCGGAUGCACUUGCAUCUAGAAAAUUAGAAUUCGGAUCCGAAAAAAUUUUGUUUUAAAUUAAAAAAUAUAUAAUAUAUUUACUUUAAAAAAUAUAUAAUAUCUGCUGUACCGUACAUCCGCCUUGUAUAGUCUGUAACCCUAAGACAUAUCGCAUUCAACUUUCACCUUGCAUCGCUAAUGCCCAAAAUCGAAGUAGCUCACCACGCCGCUGUUGAUGCACGCGUCGCCGUCGUCCAAGCCUUGCCUGAUUGGAUCAUUCUUGCCGGUAAUUUGCUCUCUUGUUUCUAUUAAUUUUGUGUUCUUUCUAUUAAUUCCAUGGCUUUUUUCUAGUUAAUAAUUUGGUAUUGUGGGUGAUUAUUUGAUGAAGGAGUGGAAGAUCCUGAUGACUGACGAUAUAGUGGCAUGGUGUGUUGGAUUUGGAGUUUGGUAUUUCCAUCGAUUUGUAGUGUUUUUAUUUACGGAUUUUAAUAGUGGUGUACUUGAAUUUAUGUUAUUUUUUAUGUUUGAUUUAUAUUGUCAUAUUUUUAUUUGUGAAUUUAUGAUGUUGUUGUAUGAUCUUUAUGUUGAAUUGUUAUUUGUUGAAUUAUGAUUGAAUUUUUUUAUAUUACUACGUAAAUUUUUAAAAUUUUAAAUUAUAUAUUAAAUUAUUAAAUUAUAAUUUUGCAGAUCCGAAAAUCCAGAAUAUCCGCCUGUAUCCGUUGCAGAUUUUGCUGAUCCGAAUAUAUAAAUAUAAAUGCAUAUCAAAAUCCAGAUGCACCUACAUCCGGAUUCAGAUUUUGUCAACCCUAUUUAAGUUUUGUUAAGUUACAUAUAUGUAACUUAUAUUAAAUCUAAAAAUAGUCAUUUAUAAUUUUUCACUAGUUUCACAUAUACUAUCAUUUUCUUGUAUUGGAUAAUUAAUUUUGAGUUACUGUAAAUUAUAGAAUACAAAUGGACUUGAACCCAUUCACGAUUCAUGUAUACUUGAAGUAGUGGCGUGGGGAUGUGACGAUCAGAAUACACAAAGGGUGCGUUUGGUACAUGUAUUGUAUUAUGUUGUAUUGCAUUAUUUUAAUACUAGUGUAUUGUAUUAUGCUGUAUUGCAUUAGCACUGUAUUAUAAUAAAUUUUUAUUAAAUUAAAAAAUUAUAUUUAUUUAUUUAUUAAUUAUUUUAUUAUUAUUUUAUUAAUAAGCAAAAGCAAAAGUUAAAGCAAAGGAACCAAAAGUCAAAGCAAAAGCACGUAAAAACUGAAAACGUUAAAGGACAAAAAAAAAAACGUAAGCGGAGUUGCCGCGUUAGCUUAGUCGGGUUUAGCUAAUGCGGCAGUUUGCUGCAUUAGCUUGGCCCAAUAAUGUGGUGUUGCUGUAGCAUUUUAUCUACCAAACAUGGGCCUGUAUAAAUUUAAUGCAAUGAGGAGUUUUAAUACAUCAACCAAACACACCCAAAGUUCUAUAUGCAACCGAUGACCUCUAGCAAGUGUACGGGGCUGCAAAACUAGAAAUAAGGCAUUCAAAUUGCUGUUUAAGUGUAGUUUCACAAACAAGGUAAAAGAUUCAGUUGUAACUCCAUUCAAGUUCAGGCCUAUACCUGCAUUUUCAGACCAAUUUAGUCUUCAAAGAGAAAUGUUGUGUCAGCUUUUUGUUGCAGUUUGAGUUAUAAGUCAUAUCUCCUUUCUGACAGAGGGGCACAUAGAUAGAAGAAGAUGAGCAUGGAUGCGUCCUUUUGCAUGUGGGCGGAAAUCAGAAUAGCACGUGAUCUUACUGAUUCGAUCAAUCCAAUAUCGCUUUCUCAUCAAACAUUUGCAAUCCCUUUUUCAAUUUUUAAAAUAAUUUAUCCCACAUUCCAUUAUUUUUUGUAAUCUAUAACACGUAACUUUCUAUAUUUCAAUAAUGCACACAAGUCUCUCUGGUCAUCUUUUGUGAUGCUUUUUCAUUAUUUACCUCUGGUUGGUCCCGCUGUAUCGAUAGCUUGCCGAACAUUCUGUGUCGAGGCAACAUGCCUUGGGGCAUUGGUGCUUCUCUUUACGUGUUCAUUUUGCAGCAAUUGAGGCUUCUCUCUCACGCUUGCACUGACUAAGCACUAAGCAGUUAUUAGUUAAGGGAAUGCCUAAUCAAAUAAUGCUGCAUGUUCAAAAAAAAAAAAUGGCCCAAUCAUUAAAAGGAGAUUCUUAAAGAUAAUUCUCUCCCACAUCUAGUGGCCCAAUCAUUAAAAGGAGAUUCUUAACUGCAUGUUCAAAAAAAAAAAAUGGCCCAAUCAUUAAAAGGAGAUUCUUAAAGAUAAUUCUCUCCCACAUCUAGAUUCACACUUCCUCAUGUGAUGAUCUACACGAGUUGACAUUAUUUAUCUGAAGAGUGUACAGAUAAAUUAUUAAUGGUAGUGCUAAAUGUAGAGAACGCUGAGAGAAGACUGUGAGAAACAACUGUACAAGCUGAGCAAAAAGUUAGGCAUUACAUGUAAUGUUGUCCUUUUAAUUUUUUUUUAAAUAUUUUAACAUUAGCUAACCAUCACGAGGGGGAAAGAGCGAAACGGUAGCUUGUGCUGCCGUUUCUCUCGGCAUUCUCUCGCCCCUCGUGAUGGUUAGCAUUUUUCAAUUAUUAAUUGCUUUAGUUAAUUAAAAAUUCACGGGCUUGAGCUUUUGAUUGAUGAAAAAUUGCAUACUUCAACUACCAAGGUAAAGUUGAUGAAUUACUGUCUAACAAAUUACAUUGCUGCAGUGUAAGUCAUUAAUUUUUAUAAAAUACAACAAAGUGUGGUUAUAGAAUUACAAAUUUUUAUAAAAAUCUUUUUUACUAAUUGAUAUAGCAUAAAUUCACUAGUUGAGUGAAAAUACAAAAUAAUUAAAAUUAAUUAUGUGGGUUAAAAAAAAUUUAACCAAUCAAUUGAAUUAUAUCACAUUAGUUUGUACAAUUUAUAAUUUUAUCUUAACUCUUAAAAUAUUAAAAAGUAUUAAUAAGAAUAAGGCAAUUGCAGUGGUGAUCCGGGCUUCAAGUUGCCGGUUUCAUUUGAAUGGAUGGUAUCUGGUUACGGGGAUGAGGAUCAAGAGGUUCAUUGAGCUUGUCCACAUUUCUCGAUUGACGGGUUCCAUCACCAAGUACUGCAAAUGCAUGGGCUUUUAUUGACCAUUUUGUUACUUGCACUCAAGAAUAUUUUGCAUCAGCCCCAUAAAUUCGUUGUCUCUUUGCCUCAGUUUGUGGGCAUGUAAUGGGUUAAUAUAAAGCUUGUUCCAAUGUAGCGGGAGGUUAGUUCCAUUGAUUCACCUAGCGGCUAGCGGCAGAGCAAAACGUGGUUUUUUAUUUUUUAUUUUUUCCCUUACUAUGUGAUAUAUACCUAAUAAAUAAAGUAUAAUGAGGUUCACUUUCUAGUUAUUCGAUGCUCGUGUCAUGUGUUUGAAACUCGCCAUUAGUAUCAGCACUCUGAACCCGUGACCAGUCCUUGACCCUUUGGUCCGUAAGUAGGACCAGCUUUACUCGGAGUACUUAUUUCAUGUUUGUGUGGAUUUUUGCAUUUUUUUUAGAUUUUUUUAAAAUAAAAAGAGGGCUCUAAAAGAGAAGAGCUAGAGGGCACAAAAUGGGGGUAUGCCACCCCAUACAUAUCCGAAUACAAAAUAGAGCUUAAACCUAAAGGGACAGAAUGAAGAAAAUGCACUCCAACAAGCAAACUCAAAGCAUGCGUAGCAAGGAAAUCAGUCGUCGAAUUUGCUUCGCGAUAGAUGUGAUCAAUUUGAAUUCCCCAAUCCCUCCUCAUGAGUUCCCUAAUCAUCUCGAUUAUAUUCAAAAAUUUGUUGACAUUAGCAUUAUUCUCCUUUAUAAGAUGCACCACACUAUAAUUAUCUAUUCCAACUUGGAUACGUCUAUAGCCAAGGUCCCAUACCAUUCUUAACCCAUGCAAGACACCCCAAAGUUCAGCCUUUAUAACCGAACAUACUCCAAGAUUUGCGCUGAAAGACACCCCAAAGUUCAGCCUUUUCUUAACCCAUGCAAGACACCCCAAAGUUCAGCCUUUAUAACCGAACAUACUCCAAGAUUUGCGCUGAAACCAUGAAGAAAUUUACCAUGGCAGUCCCGCAACAGACCACCUGCAUUGUUUUUAGAAUUUUGAGAUGAAAGUAUAUCACUAUUCAUUAAUAUCUGUCACAUAGUUCUUCAAUUAGUAAUGUUAUAAGAUAUGCUGAAUGCUGGAUAACAAUUUUGGGGCACAUGCUACAUAGUAAAAUUUUGCAUUUACGUAUUGGGAAUUUUGGGUACACAUGAACAUAAUAAACAAUGUUUGAUUAUUUUCAUAUGUUGCUUUCUUUCUAGCACAAAUGGAAAAUAUGCGCUAUCUAUCUAUCACGUCAUCGGACUCUACCAAGUUAUCGUCAAAUAUCUACCCUCAAUAUAGACGAAAUCUCCAUCACUUACAAAUAGAUUUUUUAAUCUAUGUAUCUUAAUCUUACAAAUAAAUAUUUGCCAUAUAAAAUGAGUCCUCCCUGAAGACUUCAAUUUAAUUUCUUCCUAAUGGAUAGACGAAUCUUUAUCAAGAGUUCAAAUUGAAUACUGAUCUAAUUAAACCCGUCUUUUAAAAUUUUUGGAAUAUCUAUUUGGUCAUUUAACUCCUGAAACAAUGCGCAUAAACAUCCCCAUCCAAAUCGAAAUAAGAAGAAAGAUUUAAUUAAUGAAUUCUGUUAACCCUUAAUUGAUGAAUUAGUUAAUAAAGGCAAAGCGCUUGUUACUGUUAAGGCCGUAACUGUAAGAGGAUAUGGAUUCAAUAACUGUUGUAACGAAGCAGGACGUUAAACAGUGUCAGCUUUUGCUUUAUAAAUAAUGAGAGCUACAGACCUCUGCGCUCUUCACUGCGGCUUUGGUAGUUGGUUGGUCGGUUUGUUGGUUUGGUUUCUUUAUUCUGAGGAGCAGCCCCAAUCUUCAAAAAUGGCUCUCUCCCUUUCUCUUUUUACUCGCUUGGUCCUCCUUUGUUGGUUCACCACUUCCCUGCUUCUCUGCAAUGGCUUCCCUGCUGCUUUUCACCCGCACCACCACCAUCCCCACUUUGCUAAACACAACUACAGAGAUGCUCUCACCAAAUCAAUCAUCUUUUUUGAAGGCCAAAGGUCUGGAAAGCUCCCACCUAACCAGAGGAUGACUUGGAGGAGGGACUCUGGUCUCACUGAUGGAGCAGCCAUGCAUGUACGUUUAUACCAAACUCUUUUUUUUUUUUUUUUGUUAAUCUUGUGCGUUUUGCUGAUGUGAGUAUCAAAAAUGGAAAUGCAGGUUGAUUUGGUUGGUGGGUACUACGAUGCAGGGGACAAUGUGAAGUUUGGGUUUCCCAUGGCUUUCACAACCACCAUGCUUUCAUGGAGUGUCAUUGAGUUUGGCGGGUUGAUGAAAGGUGAGCUGCGGAAUGCCAGAGAGGCCAUUCGUUGGGCUACUGAUUAUCUCCUUAAAGCUACCGUACACCCAGACACCAUCUAUGUUCAGGUCUCUUUUUAGAAUACAGAAUGUUCCCUAUAAACUUUAGAUGAGGACUAAAACAAAGAGAUUGAUUUUUUUGGGUUUUACAUUUUGUGUAGGUGGGUGAUGCUAACAAGGACCAUGCUUGUUGGGAGAGACCUGAAGAUAUGGAUACUCCAAGAACUGUCAUCAAAAUAGACAGGAACUAUCCUGGUUCUGAUGUGGCUGGGGAAACUGCUGCUGCUUUAGCCGCUGCUUCUUUGGUCUUCAGGAGAAGUGACCCAACCUACUCCAAGCUUUUGGUCAGGAGAGCUAUCAGGGUAAAACUUCUAACAGAGCUAUAACUGGAUUACUAUAUUAAACUAAGGGCAUUUCCUUGUUAUCCAAUUUAUUCGAAUACAAAAGCUGAGAUUAAUUUUACCCUUUUAUUUAUAAUAUAAUGCACAGGUUUUUCAGUUUGCUGACAAGUACAGAGGAGCCUACAGCAAUGGGUUGAAGAAAUUUGUCUGCCCAUUCUACUGCUCAUAUUCCGGUUAUCAGGUAAUACAAUUGAAACUUUCCCUUCUACUUUCAAGUGUCAUUGUUGUUUAGGUUGAGAAAGUUCAACAUAUAUUUUCUUUUCUUGUGUUAACGAUCGAAGGAUGAGCUGUUGUGGGGCGCUGCUUGGCUGCACAAGGCCACCAGAAACCCAACCUACCUCAACUACAUUCAAGUUAAUGGACAGAUUCUAGGAGCUGCAGAGUAUGAUAACACAUUUGGAUGGGAUAACAAACAUGUUGGAGCUAGGAUUCUUCUCUCUAAGGUCUCACAAUCCAACAAUAACGUCCUGAUUUAUUGACUAAUUGUUGAUCGAAAUGGAACGGCUCUUAGUGUUGAUUUUUUAUCCUGCAUUUUCAGGCAUUUUUGGUCCAAAAGUUACAGUCCCUCCAUGAGUACAAGGACCAUGCAGAUAAUUUCAUUUGUUCUCUAAUUCCGGGGGCCUCUUUCUCUUCCGCCCAGUACACCCCAGGUUUCCCCGGUGUUCUUCACUCUGUUGUUCUCACUGCAAAUGCCAAAAUAUGUAGUUUCUUCUGUAACGGCUAAUUUUGUUUGUACAUAUUAAUUGAUGCAACAGGUGGGCUUCUGUUCAAAAUGAGUGAUAGCAACAUGCAAUAUGUCACCUCCACUUCAUUCUUGCUCUUAACAUAUGCCAAGUAUUUAACCUCUGCCCAUAGAGUUGUUAACUGUGGUGGUACCACUGUUACCGCAAAGAGGCUUCGGACAAUUGCCAAGAGACAGGUCAAAAUUUUGAUAAUUUAUCUUAAUUUUUUGCAACCCAUUUUCUUGUUUUCAAGUUAAACUAAUUUUUACUCUGAUUUUGUGCAUUACCAGGUGGACUAUAUUUUGGGGGACAACCCAUUGAAGAUGUCCUACAUGGUGGGAUAUGGUCCAAGGUACCCACAAAGGAUACACCACAGGGGAUCAUCACUGCCGUCCGUGGGUGCACAUCCAGCCAGGAUUCAAUGCUCCUCUGGCUUCAGUAUCAUGAAAUCUCAAUCUCCCAACCCCAACGUUCUGGUAGGUGCAAUUGUUGGUGGGCCAGAUCAGCACGAUAGGUUCCCGGAUGAACGGCCAGAUUACGAGCAAUCAGAGCCAUCCACUUACAUGAACGCACCCCUAGUUGGAGCUUUAGCAUAUCUCGCACACUCAUUUGGCCAGCUUUAACUCGUAGUUACUAGAUACAGGAGCUCGUUUAUCUUUUAUAUUUUUGUCGUUUUUAAUGUUAAAAAGAGUGUUAGAAUUCCAGGAAGUGCAUGAGGUGAUUGGGGAUAGGGUUGUGUCGAAGCCUAAAGCUCGAGUCCCAAGCCUUGAAGCACAGUGGUCAAGGAGAGAUAAGUGAUCCCAUUGGCGUAUUGUUAUUAUUAGUUAUAUUAUGUAGGUAGCCUGUGGCGUGAGUGCAAGUUUCGUGCCAAGAACGGUGUUUCUAUAGUAAGACCAUCAGAGAGCUCCAAUAGAAUAGCUUGUGAUUGUAAUAUAGCAUGUUAAAGUCUGGGACUUGUAAUGUGUCUACUAGUGCCUUCAGUUGCAAGAAUUUUUCAAGAUUUCAAUCUCUCUCUCUGCUUUUUCCGUUUAUGCGUGUUUGUAAGCAAGUGGAAUUUAAUCAAUAGAAAGGGAUUAAGGUACCACAGAAGCUGAUAUUUAUUUAAAUAUUAUUAAAUUUUGUCAUAUUAGACAUAUUUUAUGGAUCUUGAAACUAACAAAAAGAAGAUAUAAAACAACUAGAUGGAUAUUUGAUAACAAAUUAACAAUAACUAAAUAGUCAGUGGAUAAUGUUUUAAACUUGUUAAUGAAUAUUUUACCUUUGAUGGGCAGUGUAAUUUGACUGUUCAAAAUGGAGGGAAAGGAAAGGAAGGAGAGAGAAGGAGAUGAAACAAACAAAGAAAAGAAGAAUGAGUCAGCCAUGCCCAUGUGAUGCUUUUUGAAGGUUGUGAGAGUGUGAGAUGGUCAAAAAAGCUGUGGUUUUACAGAUUUUUUUUUUUCAGUGUGUCAGAACUGAACUUCGCUUUUGAGACAGUGAAAUAAGAGAGCCCAAAGCCAUGAGUGACUGGAUAUAUACGACAUAUAACAUACGUUGCUCAACGGGAAGGAAAAAUGAAAAUGCAAAUCCCCUAAAUCCCAAUGGCUCAGCAGCGAACCACCUGACCUCAAUUUUGUUAGAGAGUAGUGACAUUUGGCUUUAAAAUUAUCUCAUUAAUCCACACUUUUUAAUCAAAUCCAUCUAUUUUAAAUUAUCCUUAUUACAAAAUUAAAAAAAAAAAAUUAAUACACUCUCUUUCUAUCACCACCAUCAUCACCGAUAACUUGUUUUCAUCACAACCAAAUCCAUCAUAUCAUCAAUCACCAAAUAUGGAAGAGUUGUAAUUAAUUUUAAAUUUAAAAAAAAUUGAUUAAUUACUUGUUUUUUAUUGCAUAGUUCCGUUGCCUAUGAAAAAAAUCUUAUUAUUUUACAACUAACAUUCUUUUCCCACUAUCCAGUAUUAGCAAGAGGCAGGAAACUUUAGGCCUAUGGGUGAAAAAUAGUAACCUUGACGAAGAAAUAUUAAAUUCACGAAAUAUUUUCUCGCUCCUCACCAUCUCCAUAACUCCAUUCAAAUUCAAAAACUCCUUAUCCUCCUCAUCUUCUACCAAAUAAUCACUUUUCAAAAACAAAUCGAUUCGUCCCAGGGUUCUCAUAUGUUCACGGUUCAAGUUACUUGGAAUCUCUGGCUGUGUUCUCAGUUUUGUUAUGUUAUAGAGUAGACAAGGAAAUAAAAGAAAUAUAAAAUAAUAUAUUAUUAUUCUCUUCUUUUUAGGAGGGUAAUUUUGAAAAUAAGUCGGGUUUAAUGUUAAUUAAAAAGUGGGGAUUGUUGAAAUAAUUUUAAAAGGUCAAAUAUUUAUAAACUCAAUUACUUCAUGUCCCUACACUUCUAUUUUUUUUUUUUUUUUUUUAAUGAGAUCUUCUAUAGAGGUACUCACGAGUCACGACCUAAAUAAGACUUUGCUUCCUGGUACCUAAGUAAUUUUCAGUUGCUUUUACAACACUUCCUUCUUGUAUCAUUAAAACAACUCCAGCGUUACUUGAUUCCAAAUUCAAUGUAAUGCUUGUUAUACACUCUUCAAAUUAUACUAAUUCACUUGCCAUUAUUUCAUCAAGACUACUCUUUUGUUAAAAGUUUAAAUUUUAAAGAUAUCUAUAAGUGUCAUAAUAUAGUAAAAUCUCUCUAUAGUGAUACUCUAUAUAGGAAUAAUUUGCAUUUAGUCAAAAAAAUUUAGUCUCAAUUUGGGCUAAUUAUAAAUAAGAAUAAACUUUACACUGUUAUAAGUUAAAAUUUUAAUCUCAAUCGAUGUAGGCCGGCCUAUAGGGCUGCAAGCAUGAGUCGGUCGAUUCAGGAUUUUUUUGCCAACCCGAUCAGCCUAUAAAUAAAAGGCAAACAAAGUUUAGAAAGGAACUUUUGACCAUUUUCUAACUAGAGAUGGCAAAACCCCGGGCCGGGUCCGGGUAUUGCCAUGACCGGACCCUGCCCGGAUGCAACCGGUCCGGGUCCGAGUCCGGGUCCGGGCCGGGUUUUAAUCCGGGUACCCGAAUUUUAUAUUUUUUAAUAUUUUAUGUGUAUAUAUUUUUUAUUUUUUGGUAAUUUUAUAAGUUUUAAAUUUAUACGGUCCGGGUCCAGACCGGGCGGGUAUUUUUACCACCUCUAUUUCUAACCAAAUUAAGAGAAAACUAAAAUAUUUUGUCGGGAUUUACUAAAAAUUGUCUAAAUGCAAACUAACGAUAGCGUAAGAGUCCCGUCCGCAGGGACACGCUCAUGCAUUGCUUGUGCCUGGAAAAGUGUCAAAAGGCAAGGAAAGUUCGUAUCUAUAUUCUAACUCUCUCUAGUAAAUUAUCAAUUCUAAGACUAUCGAAGAGUAUUUCACACCUUCAAUUAAUGGAGUUGAGGUGGAAUUAGAGUUGACUUUCAAUCAUUAUUCAACGGAAAAAGAAAUUAGAGAGACAAAGAGACAUUCCCCAAUCUCCACAUAUAAAAACAUCCUAUUAAUUAAUUAAUUAAAAAUGUCCUAUAAACUCGGUUAUUGUGAUCUCCCCAGAAGACUCAAUAAGUGACCCCAGGCCCCGCAUGGAGCUGCUCUGCUAUUUAAUAAUCUCUUUGUGUGUUUUGCAGCUAACAAGCCAAGCCUUCGAGACUAUUUAAAUAUUUAAUACUUCAAUGAACUAUUACUAAACGCUGUUCCAAAACUACAUAUUAUAUCAAACUUUGGGAAAAGAAAUAAAAAACCAAUAUGCAAGCUAGCUUACUGUUUACGCAUACGGCUCAAUAAAUAAGUGCUAAAAUAUAUUAUUUUGGGAGGUGGAUGGUUAAAAAAUUAAUUUGGAUUUUAUCCGUUCUUUUACCUUUAAAAAAAAAAAUUCUAUUCUUUCCAUCUUUUUAGAAUAUAUAUCAUUACGACAAGCUAGGACUUGGAUCUACUUUAACAUGGUGUUUUUAUUCAAAUAAUUAUUUUUAAUUAGACUUAUUUUUUAAAGAAAUCCUUUAUUUAAGAUCCUUUAGUUAAGCCCCGUUUGGGACAGCUGCCUCAAAUCUAUAAAUUAAAGGUUUGGCACCGCAGCUGCCCAAACGGGCCUUAGUUGAAAAUUGCAGGGGUAAAAUAAGAAUCAGGCACUGAUUUAUUUAUUGUUGAUUGGGAAUUCGAUCUCAUAGAUUAUAUGCCUAAAACAUCAGCAAAGACUUAUAUGAUUUAUUUUUUUUAAAAAAAAACUUAUUUACUUACUUAUGUGAUAAAUAAAUUAGUAAAGAAAAAAAAUCUCUGCAAAGCUUUUUCAAAUAAAAUAAAUUUAUAUUAUUUUAAUCAAAUUCUUCUCUCAUCAAAUUUAAUUAUCCUCCAAUUUUUUUGGUAAUGUGGUCAUAAUACUUCUCUCUCUUCAAUAAAUAAUGACAAAAAAUACUAUAAUAUUUUUAAUAAAAGAGAAAACCACUUUUUAAUAUUGAAAAGAAAGAAUAAUAAUCUUAUUUGAAAAUUUAAAGAACCUUUUAGAACUCUUAGGGUUAGUUUAAAAUUACUUUUGAGAGAGUCAAAAGUAAAUUUUAAAAGUUAAAAACUAAUUGUAUGCGUAUGAUAAAUUUUUUUGAAAAUUACUUUUGACACAUCACCUUAUUCUACAGUAUAAUUUUUUAAAAAAAUAGAGAAUGAAUGACUUUUCAAAAUUUGAUUUUGAGUAAAAAUUCAAAAUUAUGUUUAUUAUUAUUAUCAGAUAAAAAAAUAAAAUUAUAAUAUAAAAUAUUUAUUUUAAUUAUUAAUUAUUAUAUAUAUCUGCUGUACCGUACAUCCGCCUUGGCCGUACAGCAGUUUGGAUGACUUUUCAAAAUUUGAUUUUGAGUAAAAAUUCAAAAUUAUGUUUAUUAUUAUUAUCAGAUAAAAAAAUAAAAUUAUAAUAUAAAAUAUUUAUUUUAAUUACUAAUUAUUAUAUAUAUGUAAUAAAAAAUAUUUUAUAAACAUAUUUAUAAAUAUAUAAAUAAAUUUUAUUUAACAUUACAUUUCACCCAGUAAUUUACAUUCUUAUAGUAAUUUAAUAAUUAAAUUUAUCAAACACAUAUAAUUGUUUUCAAAAUUCGCCACACUUUUAAACCUAAAUUUGACCAAACAUUUAAGUGAUUCUCUUGACAAUUAAUUACUUUUAUAACUAACAAUAAUUAUUUUAAGAAAUACCAUAUUAAUAAAUUGGCCUUUACUGCUAUUUGCAAUUACAAAUCUAUUGGGGUAAAUUGAAAGAGGAAUUCGAGUCCCUUCAAGCCCGGCAUAAUAUAAAGUAAAUGUCCAGCUACCAAGAAAACAUAAUAAUAUUAAAAUGUCUUAGCAAUCAAAUUUUAACGACAGCCACGAUUGUGAACACUGUCGAGAAUAGCACAGGAAGAUUUAAGUGUCGAGAGGCUCGAAUAUCCUUUUAACCAUACAACAUAAAGCAUUACAUAUACAUACAAAAAGUACUCUUUAUUUUUGCACUAUAGUUACGGGAGGUAGCUGGGUAAUUAUUAGCAGUUCCUUGAAUACCAGCAGCUUAAUGUUGGUUCUCACUUGCCAAAGGAACAGACUUCACCUGAAAUAAUGCAAGCACAUUGAAAUUCGAUGCAGAAGAUGUAGAAUCUGAAGUAGGAUUAAACAAUGAUGCCGCUAAUAAAUGAAAACUGCUAUGGCACACCACUCUUUUAACUCCUCAGAUACGAUUGAAUUUCAUUACUCAAAAAGGUUUUAAGGAGUUGUAGCAACGUGAAAAACAAGAGUGCAACUGUAAAUCGAGAAAUCUCAAUCGACAAUAGUAACUAUUAUAAAUGAUUUGAAGUACUCACCAAAUCACGGAACUUUAGAAUGUAGAACAUCUCAAGGUACCUCCGGGUCUCACGCCUCUCAAGUUUUGAAACAUACUUCCAGAAACCAUAUACCCCAGCCAAUGUCAUUAGCCUUUCAGAAUAAAUCUUCCAGGUGUACCUACAAAUUAUGAUUCUGUGUCGGCAUGGAAAUCACAUUGAUAACAAAUGGUGAAGGAUCCACAAUUCCAUCACUAGAUACUACUAACCUUUCAUAAAUCCUUUUAAGCCCUCCAUCAGAGAUUUUUUUCCAAUGGCUUGGAUUUUCCUUGCACUUUCCAAAGAAAUCUGCCAUGAGUUCAGCAGCUUGAUCAGGGUGAUAUGGAUCAAUAUGGAACCCUGACGCACCAUGCUCGAUAAUCUCUGCAGGACCACCAUGGCAAGUGGCGAAUGUCGGAAGUCCACAAGUCAUAGCUUCCACAACUGUUAAUCCAAAAGCUUCAUAAAAAGCAGGCUGCCAUAAAAUUAAAAAAGAAAAGAAAAAGGAAAAAAGAGAGUUGAGGGUUAAGUUAUCAUAACACCUUACUAUACUUUGUAAGAAGGUAAAAAGUUCAGUGGUAUCGGGUGCACAUAUACCUGCACAAAAGCACCUUUGGUGUCGGCUAUAUAGCGAUAGAGCUCGCCAUUACGUGCCCUAUUUGUUUGAGCUGCUAUCCAACGAAACUGACCAUCCAACUUGUACGUCUUCAUAAGCUCAUGCAUCUUCUCAAUUUCUGCUAUCUCUUCUCUGUCUUUGGACUUAUUUACAUCUAUGUAACCAGCUACCACUACAAGGUUAACCAGUUCCCUCAGUUGGCUAUUCUUACCAUAGCACUCAACCAACCCUGUCAUGUUUUUCACAUGGUCAAGCCUCGCCAUGGAAAAGACAAUGGGCUUCGACCGAUCACUCAAUGUACCACUGCAGAUAUGAGGAAGCAGAUUAUAAAAGAGGAGCUCCUUUGAAGAAUCUAACUUAAAUGCAAAAUUUUCUCUUGAAAAACAGUUUCUAGCAGUCAAUGACUUUAAUGGGAAUACAUCUAUUUGUUCUUGCAUUUGAUCCUCCAAAUGGCAACCUUACAAUAUUCUAUAAUAUAUGCUUGUAGAACAAUAGCAUCACUUGAAAUAACAUGAACAGAAUUCUUACCAACAAAACCUAUAACUAUUUGAAUGAUGUAUAGAGUAAAAACUGUAUUAAGGUUGAGAAAAAUUAUAGAGUUAGUAAGGGACUCACACA
RNAcentral lists this long non-coding RNA (75010 nucleotides) under Citrus sinensis (sweet orange). Its description in RNAcentral is "long non-coding RNA (CSIN_LNC002408)". Lineage: Eukaryota; Viridiplantae; Streptophyta; Magnoliopsida; Sapindales; Rutaceae. The record is from RNAcentral.